RNAcentral lists this long non-coding RNA (64725 nucleotides) under Sorghum bicolor (sorghum). Its description in RNAcentral is "long non-coding RNA (SBIC_LNC004341)". The stretch from base 30967 to 31039 matches the Rfam family "tRNA". Lineage: Eukaryota; Viridiplantae; Streptophyta; Magnoliopsida; Poales; Poaceae. The record is from RNAcentral.
GAACAUGUAAGCCGCAUAUGAGAGCUCAAAUAUGAAUUAUCCAUACAUCACAUGCUCAUAAGUCACAAGUUUAUAACAAAAUACAACAAGUGUUCACAAAUAGAGAUUGAAGUAGUCCACCAGUGCUCAUACAACAUGUUUAUUUAAUGGUUCACCAACAGCGGAAAGCACACACAACACUACGACACAUCAGUUUUUCACAGCACACCAUCUUCAUUCAUUGCAACCGGAACUGGAGCAACCACGGUCUUCAUUCAAGGCGAAGAUAGCUCGACAGGCCCAGGUGCUUUUCAGGUGGCUUGGAGCAACCACGGUCUUCUCCUCCAGCCCGCGACAUCAGCCAGCAGCUCGCGGUCGUGCUCUGCGGUGCUCUGCAGCUCGCGAACGACCAAGCUCGCGGUGCUCUGCGCGUCUACGCGUGGGCGCGUGUGCCUGUGCUGUGCCUCCCUCGAUGCAACGCCGCGGCCAGGGGAUGGGAGGAGGACUGGUCACCGGUGCAGGCGAGCAGCAGGCGCGCGGCAAGGGAACGGGAGGGAGGCCUGGACGCGGGACGCCUGGUGGUGCAGGUGCGGCGGGCGGCGGCCGACUGCUGCGACCUGCGAGAAGGGAGCGGAGCGGGCGAGCGGCGGCCAGGGGAGUCGACUGGGGUGCUCACUGCUCAGGACUCAGGAGGAUUGAACAGAUAGGGUUUGGUAUUUUGGGCUGUAUUGGGCUCAUGGGCUAUGCUGGGCUAGUUUUCCGGUUUUAUUACAAACGGGAUAAAAACGGGAUAUCCCGGUUAAAUACGGUAUUCCGUAAAUACGGACGGAAAAAUGCGUUACCGUUUUCGAUCCCGCUCCCGUUUCACUCCAUCCCGUUUUCGGUCCCGUUUCCGUUUAUCCCGUAAAAAACGAAAACGAACGGAAAAAUACGGUAUACGGAAGCGGACGGAACGGGAUUUCUCACGUCCGUUUUCAACUUUAGACCCCAGCUUUGGCCGACCAGUCACGGUUCUCAGCCAGUCGGUAGGAUCUUUGGCGUCCGACGCGGACUUCACUGCGUCCCGCUCGUUGGCGGCGUCGGCGUAGGUUUGUGCACGAUCAUAUGUCUAGUUUUUUUUUGUUUUAUUUUUUGGAGGUAGCAGGGUUCGAACCUGAGCAUUGGCAGGUGGAUUUGGGCAUUUUCGGAGGCCGCAGAGGCUGCACGUUGAAGCCUGGGGAUGCAGUGCGUUGAAGCCUGGGAUUUGAUACAAACAACUGUGGCCAUAGGAUUGGGUUGAAGCCUCUCAUGGAUGAUUUGUAGCCUUUGAUUUUAAUAAAAACAAUUUGUUAUGUGCAUUUUUUUGGGUACACAAAGAUUAAAUGUUCUCACUGGGGACACUUUCUUUGGUGAACCUAGUAUAAUUUUGAUUGGUCCAUUAUAGUAGAGAUAGAAACUACGAUGGUUUCUGUAUUAAGAGUGCCCUAAUAUUGUGUUGUGGCCCACAUCCACAUGAAUGAGCCGGGUGACAGAGAAAUCUACCCACGUAUAUUCAGUUACCAUUUUAUGUCCCUCUGUCUCUUUAUAACUUCUAUUUCAAAUUUUACUUGGACAUUUCUUUGGGAGGAUUAGGUGUAUGGCCCUAGAAAAAACAGACAAAAAGCUAAAGCCGAAUAAAUUUUGUUUUGAGGCCAUAGAGCCAAAUUCAAAAAAAAGAGAGUCAUAUACCUAAGACAAAAUUUUUCCAAGGUCAUACACCUAAUUCUCUCCAUUUCUUUUGUUAUGUUGGUAAUUUUUAGUAUAAACUCACAACAUUUUUCUUGUUAAGCUAUAAUGUUUUUCUCAAAGUCUAGAACAAUUUUUUGAGCAGAGAGUUUCUUCGUCCUUCAUAACUUAUAAUCCUUCAAUAGGGAUCCGACAGACCUAAUCUCUCUCAUGUCCGUAUAAGUUAGAGUAUCAUGUCUAAGCAUGGUAUUAGAGUCUAAUCCCAAAACAAAUUGAAAUAUAACAUUUUCAUGGUCUGCCACUCAAUAAUGUGCGUGUACAAGGUUUACCCAUGACGAGGAAUCUAGCUCCAUAACCAAUUGCAAAGCAUGACAUAACCAUUGAUAAAUCUCUAGAGACAAAUUAAAAUGCAUGACAUAAUCACUGAAUAAAUUUCUAAACUGUAUGGCAUACAAGUGGGCGUGCAACAUGUUGAACGUUCCUUGUAGGAAAACACAAAGAACACCUGUAAUCAAUUCCAGCAUUAACAGCUGCGUCUAAGUGCUGCUAUGCAUUAGAUACAUAUAUGUAUCUAGAAAAGCUAGAACAACUUACAAUUUGAAACAACGAGAGUACCUGACUGAUGCCUAGUAAAGAUCACAGACAACUCAAAAUGAAGAACGAUAGACUAGCACUAACUGCAUGUUAACAAAUGUACCAACAAACAAGAAGACACAUAUGUUCUUAGCACAUUGCCAUAUUCGUUACUCUUUUUCAUUGAUAAAUUCAUAGAAAAUUCUCGCCCAGAAACUAGAGAAUUACAACCAGAAAACAUCUGUGUGCCCACUAAAACAAAAAAUCACCGGUAACCAGUUGCCUGCUCUAUUAGCGAACAACAAAGACAGGCUAUCCGUUAACUGUUGCUGGUAGUGAAGGAACACUACAACAUACACACUUCACCACUUACAACGGUGAUGGCUCUUUUGCUCCCCAAAGUUACUGUCACCAACGAUUCUCAUUUUGUUCAUAUCUGCAAAGGACGGGAAAAGAACCAUCAGCAAAGCUAGGAGCACACAGAUAAAGAGCAUACAUUGCAACAUAAGAAUACCAUCCAAGAACAGUUUCCGGAAGUGGUAGCUGCAGGAAAUCAAUACUAGGGCCACGAGUUCAUGAUGGAAUAAUCACAGUUCACCAAACAACCACCAGUUUUAGUAAUAAAAACUAUCUUCAAUAAAUUGAGUGCAGCAAACAUAAAGACUGCCCAUCCAUCAAGUUCACACAGAAUAGAACCACUUGAUGGUAAUGAAGUUAACGUAUGACAAGUUAAUCUUUGCAAAAGGACAAUAUUUCUAAUUCUGAAAAUAUGGUAAAAAAGACACCCCUUAAAUCCUAAAUCAAGAACUAAUGUGUCAGCAUUGCUGUUUUGCUAGGUGUAGACAACACCCAUCAGACAAAGAGUCGUUGCCGGACAGACUAUAGAACUCUCUUCGCGUGGGCUACAGACCAAGAGGCUGCAGCAGGCCACUAUAAGGAACCCGUGAGUCUAUGGGCCGGACUGGAAGAACCCUUAAGGAGCCAUCAUCGAAUAGCUUAGCCUUUUCCAUAUAUAUAUAUAUAUAUAUAUAUAUAUAUAUAUAUAUAUAUAUAAGAUAGGAUAUGAAAUCUUGUAACAAACUAUCUUUGAACUCUAAUAGCAGACCUCGUCUUACAUAGCCUCUUCCUACUAUUCUUUCCCUAUUCCGAAUUUAUGAUUCCAUGCUAUCAUGCCUAACAUAAUGUACCUAUUUUUAUUUUUUAAUUCCUACUCUAUUGUACAAGCACAUUGAGUUACAAAGCUAUAUGCAAUAAGAUAUUAGACAUGCAUGGAACACCAAUAUUUGACAUUGUAAAAAAAAGGUGUUACAGCUACCCUUCCAAGUCUGGAGGUACUACAGUUGUAUAGCAAUAGCCAGUACACUCAUGGGUAAUGCUACCUCAUAACGUUGGGCUGCACAAUAUCAUAUCAAAAUCACAUAUAUGAGGACCUGGCCUAUGCACAGUUGUGGAAGAGUUGCUCCUUACUUGUUUCCUCAAAAUAAACUAGGAACACAUGGAAAAUUAAAUAUGUUACCUGAAAGGGAGGUCAAAUUUGAUUGUUAUGGCUUCCAAAUGUAAACAAGAUGUGGCAUUAUCGUUCACUUGGCAAUCAAGAACUAGCUAAGCUAGCGAACAAUGGAUCAGAAACAUAGUAAAGGGGAGGCUAAAUAAUGAAAGGCCAACAAUCUUAGUAGCAUUAAACCAAAUAGUAUAAUAGAUGUAACAAGGAACAAAACCAAUAUUAAUCUAAAAUGAUCAAGCAACAUUUAUUAGAACACCUUUGUGGGUAGGAAAAUACCAAAACGAUUUAAUGCAACCUCAGUUACUCGAUGCAUGAAAUUGCUCUCUUAUCGACUUCCCAGAAUUUAUUCCAUUCUAGAACAUAUUUGAACAAAUCUUGCUAAGAAAAUUGAAGACUCGAGGAACAUUCCCAAACCCCUAACACCGCACAAGGGAGAGAAGUUGCAGCUCCCAAGCCAAAAAUUCUAGAGCUCCUAAUUCCUAGAAUGAAACAACAGAAUAACUUGGAAGUGAGUAGCAGAACCUCGCCGCAGAUAAUAAAAGGAUAUGCUGGAGCCCUAAGCCCUUGUCCUAUGACAACAUGUCAAAGCCAGUGCAUGUGACUUGAAGGCUGUAGCCAUGGGCAAAGGCAGGUAUUUAGAAAGCUUUGGUAGCUGCAAUACCUACAGUUUGUACAAAAUACAAAAUAUAUGUAUUAUAUACUAGUAAAUAUACAUGAAAUACAUAUGUCAAUAUGUUAUACAAGUUAUAUUUGGUUCUUAUAAAUCCCGCCACACCUAAAAGUAUUCCUGCCUCUGCCACUAGCUGUAGCUGAAAGCCAGAGGCCUCAUUGGGGCCUUAUCAUUGUGGUUCUAUCUGUAGGGCGAUAUGGUGCCUCACCUAGCGGUAUCUCACUGGGUGGGAUCUAUGAGCAAGGGCACUACUGGCCACAACACGAAAAAAGAAGCGCCUACAAUGGUCAAGACAAAUCAAAGCACCAAGAGUUGACAUAAGCCUUUAUCUCGACAAACUAAGCUAGGGCUGGGCCUCCUUCGAUGGCCUAACACUACAUAGGUAUAUUAAGUUCUGCUUUGACUCGACCCGAGCUACAGCCACCCCCACCACACACACAGAACCAUCCCCAACCCAGGACCUAUAGUCACCCCUGAAGCUGCCUCCCUUCCUCAGCCAUGUGCUUGGACUUUGCUGUGCUACCACCAUAGCACCACCCGAGCCGGUGGUCUAGACUUCAAACCACAAAAUUUUAGACAAUUAACCUAUCAGAUCUUUGGCGUGUGCAAUAACUAGGUCCAUUUCUUUUGAAAGUUUCAUGGUUUAGCAGUCUCAGCAAAGGUUGUGUUUCCAAAACUAAAUAAGUGGACAAAUAAAACAAAUGGAUCCAUGAGGAUUCAAACUGAAACAUGAAACCAGACUUUAUGACAUACUAUUCUUUCAGAUGAAUCUACCAUGAACAAUACUUACCCUAAGCCCAUUCGCUAAAUGUUAAAUGCAAAAAAAUAGUAGAUGAUAUGUUGAACUUUAAAAUGUAAAUGAGAUUCCAUGUAUACCAAAGCUAAAUCUUGAAAUAAAUGGAAACAUUAUAAAAAGGUAUCAACAAAAAGACACCAAAGAUAAGAAAGCCGUAUUAAAAUUAAACAUAUUGCAAAACAAAAUAUUUGGUCAUAAGGAAUUCGUGCUACUAGUUCGAAACAGGGUCAUCUUUGACCUAAUUACAAUUGCAGUACAACAGGAUUAAUCUCAAGUAUUUUGACGAAAAUGGGAAAAAAUGAGCAUGUUAAGGACAUAAAAUGUACAAUCUAGACUAAACAAGAAAUCAUGUUUGGACAUUCAUUGUGAUUUGUUUACAUAAGUACUAUCUGAAGCUCAUAGAUCUCAUCUAAAAAUUGAAAUAGCUAGAAUAUAAAAGAAGUCUAGCAAUACUACACAUGUACUCACGUGCAGGCAUAUAGAAACCAUGUCCCACAACAGACCAAAUCAUCACAAGUAACAUUAUACUUCCUCCAUUGUAACUAUAAGUCAUUUGUAAGUUUGUCCCAAGUCAAACUUUUUAGCUUUGACCAUCCAUAGCUAACAACAAAAACAACAAAGCCUUUUAGUCCCAAGCAAGUUGGGGUAGGCUAGAGUUGAAACCCAACAUGAGCCCCUAGUUCACAUGAUAUGUACUCACUAUGUCCUAGAAUGAUAGGCAUAUUUUGUACAGCGAAGAAACAAAAUUUUACAAACUUUGAUCAACAAUUGGUCGCGUUAUAUACAAGUUUAGGACAUAAAUUUGCAUUAAUAUAUUUCAAAAAGUGCCACUAAGAUGAUAUUGAUUCUUUAGCAAAUGACAACAUAGUGUAAGAGAAAUUAAGGGUCAACAUCUAUUUUGUAUGACAUUUGCCUUAUCAAAAUACGCUUAUCAUUCUGGGAUAGAGGUAGUAACUCUUUAUAUUUGAAACAACAUUUUUAUAGAUACUUAUAGACUUAUAGUCAAAGUUCCAUCUUGUAGGCCACAUCAAUUUCAUGAGUAACAAAUACUAAUUGGCAGAGUCAUUUUGUUAGCCAUACCACUAGAAGCAUAUUGUAUGGAUAAAUAAAUGCAUUUCCCCUAAAAAUUGUUUUGACCAACUAAUUCACUACAAAUAUUAAUGGUCAAACAUCAACAACAACGAACAAGAUUUACGAAACAUUACGAGAACCACCAACAGAGGAGCUUGAUGACCUAUAGUCAUUUGAUUCUAAAUAAGAAAUAUCCAUCAACACCAGAAUAUCAAUAUACAAAGUUAACAAACUAACUUGUUUCAACCAAAUAUACUAAAUCAAAGAAAUGCACACAGCAAUACUACAAAUACUAAAAGCUAAAACUAGUGACUAUCCAAAGAAUUGAAUUCAAGGACGCUCAUCACCUCCAAUAACCCUACCCCACAACAACUGCUGCCUCUCAUCCUCCUCUUCCUCUUCGUCAAUCUCAUCCCCGUAUCCCAGCUCCACGUCGCCACGGUACCCAAGUUCACUCCCUUACCUAGACUUGACAACUGUCGCCUCCAUGCCAUGCCUACCCCACCGCUCGCGGCACCAAUCCCACCAACAGGAGCCGGGCCGAGCUAUGUCGCAAUCGGCACGUCCCUCAUCCGCACCUCCCUGACAUUGGACGCCCACAUCUCGCUAGAGUCACUGGUGCCGCUGCCACUAGCGCCACACAUGAAAGGGAAAUUGGAACACGUGUCGGAUCUCCGACGGUCGCUGUUGUGGCUGGACACUGAUCGCGAUCACGUACCACGAUAGUGGCACUUGCGGAGCCCGAGCCACUAGAAGGAUCUGUCUUUACCGCCCCGAGGGGGCAUGCGUCGGAGUCUCCACAUUAGGGAGGUGCGCCGAGGAGGGGGGAGCGGUCCGAGAGACAGGGCUUCUUGUGGAAGGGAUGCUAGGAGGUGAUGGCCUCGAUGAGGGGGAGGUGCGGUGGGUGGUGCCACAGCUGUAGGGUUGAAAGCAUCUAGGCCUCUAAUGGGUUUUGGUGAUUAAUGACAAUGUUGAUUACUAUGACUAACAUGUGUUUUGCAGAGGAAAAAUCAUUUGAGUUAGGUCAUUAUUGACGGUCCUUAAGUACCAAAUAUAAGCAUCAAAUAAAUAAAGAAAAGGAUCCAAAUGCAACUAACACCCAGACUUAGGGUUUUAUCUGACAGAAUUCCACAAGUUUUGGUGUUUGUCUAUUUUCUGCAAGGAGUUAUCAGGAAAUAUGGAGGAAAGGCCCACACGUCGGGUUUACAUAGAGAUAUCGACAUACCGCGCAAUUAUCUUACAUCUAGAAGACUCCAGAAGCCACGGGAAGAAAGCGGAGGCCGAACGGAGCCAGGCACUAGGCGCCCGCCCAGUUGACCUGGGGGCCCGCCCCCCUGCAGAGUUGGAUCAGGACUCUCUUUCGGGACCAAGCUCCACCGACCUAAAGGAUCAAGGAUAACCGUCCAAUCAAUGUCGGUUUGAUCCAACGGCCCACGUUCACUUGAGGGGACUAUAAAACCAGACCCCCUGACCCCUGGAGGAGACAAGUUCAUCAUAGAGUUGAGAGGAGCCCUCGAAGGAAUACCUCUCCUCUAAAUAAAUAUUUAUUUUAGGCUUAGCAUCCAAUGUGAGUAGAAAUAGAUCUUCUAGUUUCUACUAGAUUGAGAGAUAUAGAGUGGAGGUGUAGAUUGGAGGAAGCCCGACCUGUCGGUCCGAGGUUGUACCUGCAGGAUCAAGUCUUCUAACCCAAGGCUUGCUCCUAGGAUUCUUUAGUAAUUCUACUUCUAAUUCUAGUAAGUUCUUGUUUUAUUGUUCUUUGGUUUAUGAGUUUACUUUAAUCUCUUCCGGUUGAGUAUUAGAGUAUUCAUUGCUAGUGUAAACGUGGUGUUUAGGCUAGGGUACUCAUAGAUAUCCCCUGACAACCUGGACCGUGGUAGUAGCGAGGAACGUGACAUUUUCGAGUUACUUUUGCAGCCCACAUCUUGUUAGCAGGACGGGUAGGUUUAUAGGUGCGGGUCGAACAUCCUUUGUGGUGUCUAGAUUUCGUAAGCUUCCCCAAUAGAACAGUAGAUCAUCCUUACCAAGGUUAGAACAAGACUACGGUUGCAGUCUUCUCUAUACAUCACUCACAUCGAGAAACAUUCUUUGUAGCCUAAAGGGGUAGUAGCAAUAGAUUUGGUUAGUCAGAUGCACCCUUUCUCCCAGUGGUAAAAAUAUAAAUACGAUACUCUAGAUAACCUCCCGGGUGAAAUGCUCACCGAUAUCCAUGCGCUCGCGGAUCAUUUUCUGAUUGCGUUACCAAAUAUCAACAGUCAUGGUAAUGGUGAUCAAUGGACUAGGACAUUCAUACCGACUUAAUGGUGGAAAUCGUUUCGGUUUUCAAAGGAUUGUUGGACAUCGUCAAGACUAGACUAGGUCUAAGUGCCAUUUGGAGUUGAAGAGCACUUAGAGUAGUUUAGGACUUUUUUCCUUUAACGUACUAUUAAGGGGGCAUUGAACGGUUAGCUUGACCUAGACAAGGCUUUAGGUUUAGGUGUAGUGCACACUUGAUAAAUCUAGCACUAGGCAGCUUAGAUGAAGUCCUUAGAUCGAGAGAAUUAAACUUUGUUUUGGAAAGUUCAUGAUUCAACGAAGUUUAGGUUGUUUUGGAGCACCACACGCUGGCACCAGACACCAUAGUGUUACUAUUGGCACUUCCGGUGUAUGCUGGAGUUGAGCCAGUGCGCCGAGUGCCUAGGGUUUGUUGACGGUCGAUAACGUAAACUUCUAGUAUAACUUUAAACCUGAAGGAGAACAUAAAUACACACUAGUAUAUGGUUUAAACUAACAAUUUCACAAGUUUUCUAUAUUUUGUAUUUUCUAAGGUGAAUUUCAGGAAAGCUAAAAAAGAGGGACUCUAGUGCAAAACAAACACGGAAAUGUAUCCGCCACGGGAAACGUCGUGAGAAGACUCAGGAAGGAUCGAGAAGUCACCCAGAGCAACGGGGGGCCUGGCGGCUGCCAGUUGGGGCCGGCCGGCCCCACCUUAGCGCCGGCCGGUGCCCCCCUUUAGGGUUUCGCCCCCCUCUUCUAGAAGCUUCCUCCACCGCCUUUGAUGAGUCAUCUCGGCCCUUGGUUAAGUCGGUUUGAUCCUACGGCGCACGUGAAUCCCACCGGACUAUAAAUACGUGCGUAGACCCCCUGAAGAGAGCCACUUCAUUAUUCAUCAAGGCCUGAAGCCAUCAAGCAUCAAGCGCUUUUAAGUUCAUCAAGAGCCUUCUAGUUCAUAGUUCUAGUUAGUUAGAUUAUAAGUAGAGGAGAUCUAGUUCUUCAUCGGGAUCUAGAGCCUCUAGCAUUGGUCUGGAGCGCAAGAGUUCGGUAAUAGAUCUAGUUCUUACUUUAUAGUAUUCAAUUGUAUAUUAGGGAGACUUUAUUUUUAAUAGAUUCAUAUGUUCUUAAUUACAUUAGUCAUUGUCUACUUUGAUUAUAUGUCUAGGAUAGUUGGUUUGAUCUUAUUGAAUUCAUGUAAUUGCUCGUAUAGCGUUUACCUAAUCGAUCGUUGGGUAGAUGAUAGACAAUAUAUAGACGUGGUGUCUAGAUACCUUAUUUGUCUGCGAGUGCCCCAUGACAUGUCGGGUCGUGUGGUAGUCUACGUAGGUGACAGCUGCGUUGGUUCCUCUGUAGUCCACCCUCCGUACGUAGGGCUAGCAUGAGCGCGGCCGCGAAAGAGGUGACGGUUGCGUCUUAAAACCCUCAUUAGUUGAUGUCUCUUUACAUGUAAUUAUGAUAUAGGGUUUACUUAAUGAUGAUUUCUGGAUGUAAUUGCACUAAUUAGAGUUAUUCAUUGGCGUAGUUAUACUUAGAUUCAACUCCCUAGUUUAUCCAUUGGCUAACUAUUAUUAUGACUAGUAGAUGCUCUGAUGAUUAUCCUUAUUUAUGAUACUUGAUGAUUAUGCUAUUACUAUUAUUUAUCUAUAUUUAUCUUGUGACCUCUGCCUGUUAUGAGUAGAUAUUAUAGGACUUGGGUAAUAUUAUUCAUCCUAUAAUAGAUGUAGUUUAACUCUUAGCCUUCCCAGUGGUAUAAAUAUAAAUUGAAAACCUGGAUACUUCUCUAGGUAAAAUGCUACAACGGUAUAAUUAUUUGUCCGCUUGUAGAACCCAUUUAGUUUAUAAUUAUAUUCAUAAUUGUUAUUCUCUGUCUUUACAGUAGAACAUGUGAAUCUAAAUUAAAUUCCUAGCAAUAUAAUUAGGGAUGACAACCUACUUUAUGCUUAGGAAUGUUUGAGUGGUUAGUUGCUAUUUGACAAAUUAAUUAAAUACCAUGUAUUUCUAGUGUUGUUACUAGGAGUAGGGUUUAUCUCUAUUUUUAGUGAUGAUGAUAGUAAAUGUCAACAGGGUUAGGCACCAGACGCACGCACCGGACCCUACGGGGUGCGUCCGGUUCCUUACCAGAGAAGUUGUUUUCUUGGUUUCUCACCGGACGAGUCACGCUUGAGGUCACCGGACGAUCGCUGAGCAUCCGGUGUGAGCAGUUCGACCAAGUACAACUAGUCGUUGGGGUUGCACCGGACACUCUGCGGAGUGCGUCUGGUGCAAUAUCAAGCGUGUCCGGUGCACUUGUUUUUUUGUGGAAUUCGAGUGGUCGGCCCUUGGAUUUGAUGGGAAGUAUUUAUACUCCCCCAUCUUAUCUAUGAGAGUUCUCUUGCCCAUUUGAUCAGCUGAGAAACACCUUGUGGUGCAAAGAGAAGCAAGAACCUAGAGAGGUUUGAGAAUUGAGUGAUUUUUUGAGUGAAUCCUUCUCUAGUGAGUUCCUAGAGUUCAAGUGUGCAUCCACCACUCUCUAGAGUCUUGUUUGGGUCAAUGAGAGUUCUUUUCUUGUUACUCUUGGUGAUCACCAUUACCUAGACGGUUUGGUGGUGAUUGGAGGCACAAAGACCGCCCAGAGUUCUUUUGUGGGUGGCUCGUGUGAAGCUUGUGAGUGGUUGUGGGAGAUUCACCACGAUGGAGUGUCGAAAAAUCAGCUUGUAGAGAGUACUUGGUCCUUGCGCGGAAGCACCACAUCCCCCCGAAUGUCAUAUGUGUGGCCCUGCCUGAGCUCCACACCACAUCGCCCCUCACCUCAUCUGCCACCGGCGCCCCACGCGAGUGGGGGCGUGUGCCCAAUGUGGCAGUUGCUCAACAUCGACCCGCCCCGUUCUCCUCUUGCUGACCUAGGGGACAAAUCCGCCUCAGACGGUGCUAGAACCCACCAAAGCGGCAGUGGAUAGGGAGAAGCCACUAUUCUCAAGUUUUCUAUGCAUACAUUUCAUAUGAAAAUAUGAUUUCAGGAGCUUCUAUGGUGAAGCUAGAAAACAGUUUCAUAAACCGUCCAAAAGUCCCUACCAAUUACCAAAGGGCCUUCAUUCCAAAUUAUAAAUUAUUUCGAUAAUAUUGAAGAGUUAAAACAUUUUCAAGUUUGACCAAAAUUAUAAAAGAAAAUACUAAAAUUUGUAACAUAAAAUCAAUAUACUAUAAAAAUAUAAUUAAAGAAAAAUCUAAUGAUACUUAGUAGGUAUCAUAAUAGUUAUUAUCUUGUUAUAAAAAAUUGGUGAAAUUUGAGAUACUUUAACUCUCCAAGAUUUUUAGAAUAUCUUAUAAUUUAGGAUGGAGGGUGAAAUACAUCCCUUAACUUUUGAAACCGUGCAUAUUACGUCCCUAAUAUGGUUAUGGGCGGUUUUGAAGGCAAUUUGUCUUUUUUAUUUUUAUUUUUUUUGGAUGAAUAUUUAUAAAAUUAUAGUAAAUCAAAUAAAAUUGAUAAAAUAGUAAAUCUAUUUUUUUGUACUCUAGAUAAGUAGAUAUAUACAAUGAACAUAUAAUAUGUUAUGCUUUAGUAUAAAGUUUUUGUUGUAACUUUAGAUCUGUGUUUUUUAUAAUUAAUUAGAAUAAUUCAUAGCUAUAGUUUGUAUGGUCCAAUUGUAGUGAAUUUUUUAUAUUGGAUUAUUUAUUAUAUGUUUAAACUGUGAUAAAAAUUUAAUACUCAUUAGAUCAUGUAUAACUUAGUUAUAGAUUUAUUAAGAUUUAACAAGCAUAAAUCUAAAUAAAUCUAUAAUAACUAAGUAAUACAUGAUGAAAGUUUUACUACAACCUAAGCGUAGAAUAAUUAACCCACCAUAUAAAUUUUGUUACAAUUGGACCAUAGAAAUUGUAGCUAUAAUUAGUCUAAUUAAUUAUAGAAAGCAUAGAUCUAAAGCCGCAUCAAAAAAUUUAUACUAAAACAUACUAUAUUAUAUAUUCAAUAUGUAGAUCUACUCAUCUAAAGUCCAACAAAAUUGGUUUUCUAUUUUAUGAUUUUUAUGUGAUUUAUUAUGAUGUUUCAAAAAAAAGCUGAAAUAAAUAAAAAGAUAAAGAUAAAACCAUUUUCAAAACCAGGUGAGGGAUCUAAUGUGCACGGUUUUUAAAAUUGAUGAUGUAUUUUGUCCGGUUCUAGAGUUUAGGGAUAAAAAUCAGAUUUUCGUGAAAGUUGAGGACCUAAAGUGGACUUUUUCCUUUUUGUUAUUGCAAAGGUUAAGGCCUUGUUUAGUUCAACCAAAAAUAAUUUUUUUUUCAAGAUUUCUCGUCACAUCGAAUCUUAGGAUACAAGCAUUAAAUAUAGAUGAAAACAAAAAUUAGUUACACAGUUUGUCUGUAAAUCAUGAGAUGAAUUAUUUAAGCUUAAUUAGUCUAUGACUGAACAAUAAUUAAAAAAACGAAGGUGCUACAAUAUUCAAAACAAAAGAAUUUCAGAACCCAACAAAAACAAAAAACUUUUCAAGAUUUCCCGUCACAUCGAAUCUUACGACACAUGCAUGGAGCAUUAAAUAUAGAUGAAAACAAAAACUAAUUAUACAGUCUGUCUAUAAAUCGCGAGACGAAUCUUUUAAAACUAGUUACUCUAUGAUUGAAAAAUAUUUGUCAAAUAAAACAAAAGUACUACAAUAGCGAAAUCUAAAAAAAUUUCACAACUAACAAGGCCUAAACGAAAACGGCCCAUCAGACCAGCAUCGCGGAAACCCACGGCGGCCCACUGAGGCCACAACCUUAGCAGCCGGGGUACGGGAACAUGGGCACGUUCCCCGUUCCGGGAACUUCGUCCCGAAACGUGGAACGGGAACAUCAUGGAACAUCGUUCCCAAAUGCGGUGGAACACGAAUCAUAUAUAGGAGCAAUCAUAGAAACAUCAGUCCCAAGCGACUAUGGAACUUCGUGGUGUGUCUGCAUACUGCGCCGUGCCCGUCCGUGAGCGGUCGGCGAAAAAUCUAGAUGGUGAUUGACUCAUUGGCCUAGACCUGCAAUGAGCCUUAAGGUUGGAGUUGGACAGCCCUAAAUGAAACAAAAAUACAAUAGUAAACUAUAUCACGCUAGGAAUCGAACUCAUUUGAUUCAAAACAACACGUAAAACUAUCUGAGCCAACCACUACGUCCCAAACACGUUCCUUUAGAAAGUGGAACGCGUUCCACAACUUAAAGGAACGAGACGAAACUAUAUACCCCUACGUUCCAUAGUUUAUGAAAAUGUCGUACCGCGUACCACGUUCCCGUACCACGUACCCUAUGUUCCGGAACAUGGCUGCUAAGGCCACAACACGCCGGCAACGUCGCGGUCCACCGCACGAAUCUCGAAGCGCCGCGCAGCCACAUUCGCCAGCUAGUAUCACCACGGGCUCCUGUUCCUGUCGCAGGUUACGCGGCGUCGCCUCCCGAAUCCCGAACCUUCUCGAGGUCGAGGCCCCUCUCCCCCUGCUCCAGGAGGUGCGCACGACUCUAAUCCCCUCACGCCCCACUGGCGUUUUCUUCCCUGCUUGCUCCGAUUUCGUUUCGAUGGUAAUCGCCGCCCGUUCCUCUCGUCGUCUCGUCCGGUCGUCCGCACCUUUCCUUUGAUUUGCGAGAGGGAUCUCUAGUCAAAAUCUCUCUUUAUGUAGCCGUUCAGUUCGUUGCGGUUUUUGUUUGACGAGUGGUUGAGUAGACCCCUGGCAAUCCACCCUUGCAUGGUUCGAUUAGGUUUUUGUUCAUCUUUUCCAGCUGCCAUUCUGCAUAAAUUGUUUAACCGAACCUCCUCUGUGGCUCUCUUUGUUUAAUUUCGUCACGGUGCCCCAUGUCAGUGUGUUGUAAGGUUGGAGCUGCACUGCAAUGAUACUUAUAUAAACUAGAAGCCUUGAUGCAUGAUUGAGCACGGUGCAAGUUGUUAGGUUUGAAAUUCCCGUGUAGUUCGAUUAACUGCAUAUCAGUAGUACAGUGCUUUUUGAAAGGAAGACGAAUAUGUUAUAGACUCAUAGUGUUCUCUGCAAGUCUGCAUCAUUUCUUUCUUGGUCGAGGUCUCAAGGAUGCUGCUACUUCAAUUUUUUAAAAAUAAUGCUCAGCAUAUAGUUAUGGUCCACCAUGUUCUUCCUGUUGCUUCGACUUUCGACUAGGAUAUUUUAACUUUAAAUAAAAUUCUGGCUCUUACUAUUACCAUGGUAUGACUUUCUCCUUAGAAAAUUGGUGUAGGGUUUUUGGUAAAUGACACAUUCUUGGAGAACUAUAUUCUUUGGGGGCCAUACUAUCUUUUGCAUGCUACAAUUGUGUCGUGCUUUGCCCCAACAUUUUUCCCAUUUAUGAGACAAUGAUGUACUUACCCGUGUUGGACUGCAGAAAACAAUGAGCCGACGCAACAGCCGUACCAUCUAUGUAGGCAAUCUCCCUGGGGACAUCCGUGAGAGGGAGGUUGAGGAUCUCUUCUACAAGGUGGGUUGCAAUUGUUUUACAUGUAUACCUUUGUCUGACUUUUCAUUUCGAAAGCAAGUGUCAGAUUGGUCAGGGCGUAUGCUAAUUCCUGCUCAGUCAAUAAAAUUUUCUGUCUCAGCAAGACAGCAACUUCAGUAUCCUAUUAAUGUGAGAAUGUAGUAUGGAGCUGAAUGUUUACAUUUUUUAUGUACUACAUUAAUUAAUUCAUCCGAUUCCAAAAUAUAAGUCCAUCUAGUAUUCUCUUAGAUCACCAAAUAUAAGUCCAUCACAACUUCGUGACAUCUAUUACUCUCAUUCUUCCAUGUCUACACCUGCUUAAAGGCGCCUAAUCAAUGCAGUACACUUGUUAUCUACCUUAACUGUAGUAACAAUUGGUGGCAACAGGGUCAUUGUACUCCUUACCUUAAUAUGUGCCAAAGUCCAAAUGGACUAUCAGAGGGAGUAGAAUAUUAUCUGAAAUUUGUUUGAGGGGUUGCACAAGAAUUUUGUUUGAGAUCAAUACAUGUUUUUUAUUGAGUUAUGUCAACUAAAGAAACGUCAUAUAUGUUGUUCUCUUUGUCUGAAGUAAACAAUAAUAUCUGUUUUGCAAUGACACCCGAUACCUUUUAUUUUGUCUCUGCAUCACCUAUGCUUUUAUUGAAUUAUGACAAUGCCUUGACUUUUUCCCCUUCAAUGUAUGAUUGUGCAGUAUGGUCGUAUCUUGGAUAUCGACUUGAAAAUACCUCCAAGACCUCCUGGAUACGCUUUCGUUGAGGUGAGGAUAUUUUUCUGUGGUCUGAUUCUGUAAGAAUAGUAUUCUUUUAUGGGGGCCUGCUUUUAAAUAUGCAUAACUUCUCUAUUACUCUGUUCAGUUUUAAAACCUAUUUUAUAUCAUGCUUUAAUCAUUCAAAUCAAACAAAUCAAACUGACUGAUAAUUUGUUUUGAUGUCACCCUAACAAAAAAUGAUGCUUUUUUAGUUUGAGGAUCCACGUGAUGCUGAUGAUGCAAUUUAUGGCCGUGAUGGGUAUAACUUUGAUGGCUACAGGUUGCGCGUAUGUAUAACAAACUUUUAUUUAAUGAUUCUCCCAGAAGAGAGGACUGGUUUGGGUUUUCUUGCAUUUGCUGAAAAUGCAUUUUCUACUCAGGUUGAAUUAGCUCAUGGUGGUAGAGGUCAGUCUUAUUCUUAUGAUCGUUCAAGCAGCUAUAGCAGUGCACGCCGUGGAGGUGUUUCUAGGCGCUCUGAUUUCCGUGGUUGGUACUUUUGUCAUAUGAGAACGUUUCCUUAUAGCUCCUUACACAGACUCUCAAGUUUCAUCUCCUAAAUCAUGCAGUUAUGGUCACUGGUUUACCUUCAUCUGCAUCGUGGCAAGAUCUGAAGGUAAUUUCUUUAUAAUUCAUUUAUUCCAGGACUUUUGCUGGAAAGAACUCAUUUACUACAUUUCAGGACCACAUGCGGCGCGCCGGCGAUGUCUGUUUCUCUGAUGUAUACCGUGAGGCUGGAGGUUAGUUGUUUGAACUUUGAACACUCCUGAACACAUUUUCUGCUAUUUCAUUGCAGCAUAUGGUUGUAAACGUAAUCCCUAAUUUUGUAAUCAUGUUUCCUAACUUAUUGCUUCACUGCCCCUUUGAAGUAUGAAAUAUUCAGGCUUUAUCCUGAAUUUCUACAUAUUGAUGAUAUCUGCUCCUUCUUCUUUCUUGUGCUGCAGAAACUAUUGGAAUUGUGGACUAUACAAAUUAUGACGAUAUGAAAUACGCGGUGGGUUUAGCAUGUCGUUUACUCAUUUUCUUUUAAUGUGAACUUAAAACCAUUUUCUCUCAUCUAUUACUGUGGGUCUGUUUUACUGUUGAAGGGAGUGCUCUAAGUAAAUUCUGUUCUUUCCUGUUUCAUGUGUCAUGAACUCAUGAUUGUACUCAUGCAUUUUCCUCUUGCCAUCGUGUAGAUUAGGAAGCUUGAUGACUCACAGUUCAGGAAUGCAUUUUCAAGGGCGUAUAUCAGGGUAUGUAUUCUUAUGUUUGCCCUAGUUUAGUUUUGGAAAUUGUUACAAUGCCUCAGAUCAUGUCUAUUUGAUUACGAGUUAUGUUGAUUCUUGUUCUAUUGUAGGUGAGGGAGUAUGAUGCCAGAUCACGAAGCAGAAGCCGUAGCCGGUCGUACUCUAGAAGCCCCAGUUACAGCAGGAGCAGGAGUCCAAAGUAUGUAUACAUGCUGACAAAUUUGUUAUCCAUGUCUUAUGGCAGCACUAACUAUUAUUUGUUGUUACUUAGAUCUCUUUCUCGGUCACCCUCACCUGUGGAUGAAAGGUAUGUGAAUCUAUGUCAAUAAGAAAUGUACAUUUGUGAAACUGAAAGUGCUAAUAUUGUUUAAAGAAAACGGAUUGACAAAUAAAUGGUGAAACCAAUCAGAUCUUGUCCUGAAUCAUCUUUAACGUAUUCUGCAGUACACCUAUGGUGCUAAAAAAUAUUGAAACCUGACUUGCAUGUCAUCAUUUUGUGGACUAACUUAACGCAGGGCCAGGGAGGAUGUCACAACUGAUAGGAGAGUGCCACAUUAACUUAAUUAUUUCCUACUAUCUGAUAUACUCUUGUCAAACAAACCAAAUGCCCGAGCUGAGAGACUGCCUUGUACAUACUUCUGCAAAUGCAGACCUGAAUUUUUGAGCAUGUGCUCUACCUAUCCUUAUAGAACAUGUUGAAGGUUUGGCUCUAUCACAAACUUCUAGAUAAAUCUUUCAAUGUUGUAGCAGCCUAGCAGGGAGUAUUGGAUCCUUCAGAAGCAUGCCAAAUUGAGAGGGUAUAGAAAGAUGUAUUACCAGAAUUUUACAUUCUUUCAAAACAAUAGUCUUGUCACCUUUUCCUGCCGUACCAGUCAUCUCCAUAGCAUGGCAGAACCUCUUCGUUUCUUUUUCCUCAUGGAAAAGCUUCAGUCCUCUCCUUAAUUAUCAACUUCAUACAUCUUUAACCUAGAGCUCCUUUUUUCUGAGUUUAACAACAAACUUUUCCUGCUUUAUAUUUUAAAGUAGAAAAAGGACUCUACAGAUAAAACUCACAUAUAUUUGCCUCAGAUUUUAAUAAACAAUAUUUCAAAAUAAAAUAUUUUUUCUGCUUUUUGUUAAAGCAAUAAGAAGAAACAAAGUUUGGUGCCAGAAUUUUUUUUUCGCGAACAGGUCGUAACCUGUUGGUGCCAGAAAUUUAACUUGAUAUACUUUGGAACGCCUCCUGAAAUCACCUGUGAUAUGUUUUUCUGUGUACCGAUUUCUCUUUAAGUUAGCAUAACUUUUGUGAUGUACUAAUCUCUCUUUAAAUAAGUGUGACUUGAAUUUGCUCUGUAGUUCAAUGAUUAAACAUACAGAGCUUGCUGGCUAACCUCCACUGUUCAAGGUUUGCUUUUGUUUUUCCUAGAUUUGGCCAUGCGGCGAUCUGGGGACUGCAUUGAUAUAAUAUUGGAUGUUUUGAGAAUUGGAGUGGAUGGUUUGGGACUUUGGAUAGUAGAGCUGGAUUGUGAUGCAUGUAUGACAAGUGGGCCACGACCAGUCCUAGGAGCAAGAUAGGACUGACAGUAAGAAAAUGUGAAGUGAAUCUUGUGGUGUUAUUAAAACAAAUGUCUACUAUUAAGUUCAAUGACUCCGUAUAAAUGAACCUUAAUUUAUAAGUUUGUGUUUUUGUCUAACAAUGCUGCCAUCUUAGUAAAAAUUCCUAUGGUGCCUUCUGCAUAUGGCUCUUUGUAGCCAUUUUCUUGUCAAGGUUCACACUAGCCAAAGAAGUUGACAUUAACAACAAAAUUCAAUAUACACCUUGCUUUGUUUGCUUAUUUGCAUUCCAGUUAUGACCUAAUUACCUUAUAGGCUUAAAAACUAUAUUAUUCUCGGAGUAUUAAGCAUAAACACCAGAAUGUUGCAGCUUCCCUCCUGUUUCAGUUCAUUCAUUCAUCUGCUGUGGAACGUUGCCUCUUUAUGCACAUCUCAAGUUGCCAGUUUAGCUUUAAUUGCAAUUUUGUAUCGCAGAUUAGAGUGCUACUAAUGCAUCAUUAAGUAAUGGAAUUUGUUUCUGGUACCUUUUGCAGAUCGCUAUCAAGAUCUCGAUCCCCAGUUUCUUCUGUAAGUAUCCCAAGCUCAUUAUAACCAAGCUUGUCAUAAUUGUCUUGUUCAAUGCAAUUGAUUUUUAACUCUUUUGCAGCCUUCUCAUGCCAGAUCUGCGAGCAGAAGCACAUCCCGUUCUCGGUCUCCUGUAAUUGCAAGCUUCCAAAACAAUCACUUAUUAUGUUGCUAGGAACUUUCAUGCUUAUUUAGUAUGUUGUUGCUGGCAGGUGAGAUCCGAUUGAACUUGGGAGCCCUUGAAGCAGUGAGCAGCUCCAGGGAGAAGAAAGGAACUUGAGAACAUGCCGUGCCAAAAGAUACUUGAGAACACCAAUGGUCCAAGUGAUUAUGUUGUUGCCGCUGCUCCCCCACAUUUGGGAGGUCUCUUCUAUUUAGACGGAGCAUUUAAUAAUUAUUAUAUUACAUUAUAUUGCUAAAGAGAUACUUAUUAUGCGUAGCAUACCGGUGUAGACUGAACUUGUUUGUCCUCGGUUUUUCUUGGCUCCUGGAACUCGGUUUUAUCAUUUGUUUACAAGAGACUUGUUUUAUCAUUGUACCCAUAUAGCAAAACCUAUAGGUGUAGUAGGAGUAUGCUGUAUGCGUCUAUGUUCAAUUGGUCGCAUGUAAACCUGGAUACGCACAGUUGUUUGGUUCCAUGGUGUGUUGUUACAAUGUUCCAAAAUUUGAGAUUCUCUGGAACAAUGUAGCAUCGUUGUGCAACUUCGAUCAGAUUUGGCUGAAUUCUGGUAGUUUUGUUCCUUGCCCUAUUGAGCCGAAGUGCGUGUGCAACGAGUUUGCCGACACAGCGCUGACUCCGUAUCCUUUUUUAAUUUGGAGUUGGUUGGGUUUCAAGUAAGACUACAAAUAUAUUUGUGGGUUGGAAAAUAAACAAAAUCUAGCUAAUACUCCAUUUCAAAUUAUAAGAAUUUUUGGAGUCAGAAGCAUUUUAAGUUUGAUUAAAAUUAUAGAAAUAAAUAUAAAGAUUUAUUACAUCAAAUAGGCAUUGAAAAUAUAAUUAAUGAACAAUCUAUUGAUACUCAGUUGGUACUAUAAAUUCUUAUUAUCUUAUCAUAUAAGAGAUUCUUAGAAUAAUUUAUAAUUUAGGAUCUUAUCAUAUAAGAGAUUUUUAGAAUAAUUUAUAAUUUAGAAUGGAGGGAGUACAAGUGUAACCUAACUUUUUUGAUAAAAAGAAAGAAAAAAGUCUACAUCACUCCCUGAACUAUGGGUGGUGUCUACUUUAUCCCCGAACUAUGAAAUGGUCUAAUUUACCCUCUGAACUAUCCAAAACUGUUCAAAUCACCCCUCAGGCAGUUUUUGACGGCAGUUUUGAUACAGUAACUGCUGUUUUUAUUUUUUUUAUUUUUUCAUAUUUGUUUUCAUAUAUAAUCUUUGAAAAAAAAUAGUAAAUUACAGAAAAAUCAUAAAAUAGAAAAUCUAAUUUUGUUGGACUCGGCAUGAGUAGAUCUACGCAAUGAAUAUAUAAUAUGAUAUACUUUAGUAUAAAUUUCGUACUCAUUUGAUCAUAUAUAACUUAGUUAUAGAUUUAUUCAGGUUUAUGCUUGUUAAAUAUAAAUAAAUCUAUAACUAAGUUAUACAUGAUCCGAUGAGUAUGAAAUAUUUACUAUAUUUCAAGCAUAGAAUAGGCCUUGUUUAGUUCCUCAAGUAUUUUGUAAAAAAUCCAAAAACCCCCAAACCUUAAGCAGUCCACCAAAAUUCUAACACCAAAAAUUUUUGGUUUUGGUGUUUACUUCCUAAAAUAUUUUACAAAAUUUUUCAGAUUUCCUGUCACAUCAAAUCUUGUGGCACAUGUAUAAAACAUUAAAUAUAGAUAAAAAAUAACUAAUUGUACAGUUUAUAUAUAAUUUGCGAGACGAAUAUUUUGAGCCUAAUUAUUAUAUUAUUGGACAAUAUUUGUCAAAUACAAACGAAAUUGCUACGGUAUCUAUUUUGCAAAAAAUUUUGGAACUAAACAAGACCAAUGUCCCUAUUUUAUUUUGCAAAAAGUUUAGGGCCAAAAUAUUUUGGCCAUGUUUACUUCCAAAAUGCAAAAUAGCAAAAAAAAUUUUAUUUGGUCCAAAAUAUUUUGGAACUAUUAGGCCUUGUUUAGUUCCCAAAAAAUUUUGCAAAAUUUUUCAGAUUCCCCGUCACAUCAAAUCUUUAGACGCAUGCAUGAAGUAUUAAAUAUAGACGAAAAUAAAAACUAAUUGCACAGUUUGGUCGGAAUUGACGAGACGAAUCUUUUGAGUCUAGUUAGUCCAUGAUUGAACAAUAUUUGUCAAAUACAAACGAAAGUGGUACUAUUCCUAUUUUACAAAAUUUUUUGGAACUAAACAAGGUUCCAAAAAUUUUUGAAACUAAACAAGGCCUAAUUAGUCGACCAUAAAAAUUUCACACAGUUGGACCAUAGAAGUUGCAGCUAUGAAUUAUUCCAAUUAAUUACAGAUAAAAUUUGAUUUUUUUUCUAACUAAUUUAAAGCUACAGAAAAAUUUUGUAUUAAAUAUACCAUAUUAUAUAUUCAUUGCAUAGAUCUACUCAUGUGGAGUCCAAAAAAAUUAGAUUUUCUAUUUUAUGAUUUUUCUAUGAUUUACUAUAUUUUUUAAAAGAAUAUAUGAAAACAAAUAGGAAAAAAGAAAAAGUCAAAACCGCAGUUACUAUAGCAAAACCACCGUCAAAAACCGCUCAGGGGUGAUUUGAACGGUUUUGGAUAGUUCAGGAGGUAAAAUUAGACCGUUUUAUAGUUUGGAGGUAAAGUAAACACCACUCUAUAGUUCAGGGGGUGAUGUAGACUUUUUCCUAAAAAGAAAUGGAAGAAGAAAUGGAAGAAGUCCACUUUAGGUCCCUCAACUUUCGUAAAAAUUCGUUUUUCAUCCUGAACUUUAAAAUCAGGUAAAAUAUAUCCCUCAAAUUUUAAAACUAUGCAUAUUACGUCGUUGAUAUGGUUAUGAGUAAUUUUAAAGGUAGUUUUGUCUUUUUAAUUUUUACUAGGUAGCGUGCCCGUGCGUUGCUACGGGAUAACUAACAUUUUUAUUUAAAAUUCACGGAUCGCACAAUAAGAUAACAAUAUUAUAAUAAAACUUAAAUACCAACUAUAAAGUUACAUUUGACUUAAAGAAACAAAGUUCGUGAAAUCAAACAUAGUUAUGAAGAGCACGACGUUAUAGGCUUACAAACUCUACUUUAUAGAUCUUUCCGUGAUACGACAAAGAUAAUGUUUAUAUCGACAAGAAGAUAUGUCCGAUAUCUAUUUCUUUCGUGUGCCAGUAAAUCCACAAAUAAAUUUCGCCGCAUCUCCGUACCAUCCUAUCACACAUUCAAGUAUAUAUGUAAAAAUUAGUGUGUUACAUGGGUAAUACUACAUUUUGUUAAAAAAACUUUUACAAAAACUUAGUCAAAGUGUUAUACUCACUGUAUAAAUAUGCGUGGCUUUUGGUCUAUUCCAUGUAGACAUAUAUUGUAGGAUGAGAAAUCUACUUAAGUACCUGUAGCAAGAUUCAUGAUCAGCAAUAUAUAGAAAUAGUUAAAUCAUAGGUAUUUGUUAUUGCAAAUGACGAUGAUUUUAAGUUAGUUACCUAUCUAUAUCAUCUGCAAUGUUUUCUGUCCGUUUAAAUUUCCAUUUGAAAACAUCCUCAUCUCAUCCAGGAAUAUGUUUAUUAAAUGCGGCCAUGUAGUUGUAGCUAAGUCCAAGAGUGUAUUUGGCAUACAUAAGCGCUGGUGUGUCUUUACACCACUCUUCAAGAGGUCUAGGGUUAAUCAUGAUGAGCAUUUUUUCCCGCAUGUCGAAAACAUAAAGCAUAUAUUUUCGAAAGGAUAGCCACGGUAAAAGAAACUGCAAACACGGUACCAUUAGAAUAGUUUAUAGGGAACAAUCAAUAAAAUAUUGAGCAAAAGACUUACGUAUCUGCAUUGUGCUAAGCUGUACUUCAUAUCCUCACAUAUACCAAUCGCAGCAGCCAUUUCUGUUGUUUUGUAUUUUUUACGAUAUUCUGGCAUCUUUGUUAAAGCACACAUUCUCUGAAAGCAAAGGAUAACGAGAGUCAGUAUUAGUAUGACUUGAAAAAAAUAAGACAAUAUAAUAUAUCACCUAAUUUAUCCUAUUGAAGUUAGACUCCAUGCAAAAAUAUACUUACACAAAAUUUUAAGUCCAUGUGAUGCUUCGUAAUAUUAUUAUAAUUUUUCAUUAUAUUAUACUUUCGAGCCGCCUGAAAACGAACUCCUAUUUCGAAACAGUUCUCAGGGAUGUCUCGAUUGUUCAUUAACAAUCCUUACUCAGUCGGUGAGAAGAACCGUUUCUUCAUGUAUCAGGCUUCACCCCGAAAACCAAAAACUUUUCAAGAUUCCCCGUCACAUCAAAUAUUAGAGCACAUACAUGAAGCAUUAGAUAUAGACGAAAAUAAAAACUAAUUUUACAGUUUAUCUGUAAAUCACGAGAUGAAUCUUUUGACCCUAGUUAGUCUAUGAUUGAAUAAUAUUUGUCAAAUAAAAACGAAAAUGCUACGGUGUCGAAAUCUCAAAUUUUUUCGGAACUAAACAAGGCUGAAUAUCGACAUCAUCUUGUCAUACAUGCCAGCCUUACCGUAGGACUUGAUGUUGAACGUCUUGGUAUCUGGCUCAACACCCAUCAGCUGAAACUCACUGUAACUCUUCUCCAUUUCAUCUGUUCUUCCAUGGUUGCCAUAUGCCCCGAUGACAGAGUUCAUCGUGUAAAUGUCUGGCACAUUGCUCCCACUCUCAAGCAUGGCAGAGAGCGCACCCUCCAUCUCCUCAAACAUGGCAGCCUUGCCGUACCCAUCAAUUAUCGCGUUGUGGAUAACCGAAUUGCACUCGAUCCCCAGGUAUGACAUCUCGUCGAGAACAGCAGGGAUCAGAUCGAAGCGGCGCGACUUGGCGCAGAAUUGAUGAGGACGGAGAAGGUGUACCCGUCCGGCUUGCAGUCGGCGGCGCCUUUCAUCUGCUCGACGGCAGCCAGCGCCUCGUCCAGAAAGCCGCUAUAGCCGUACGCGCCGACGAGCGCCGUGUACACGUCCGCCGUCGGCCGGAGCCGCUCCGAGAGCAUCGCCUUGAAGAGGGCGGCGGCGGGACCGGGCUGCCGGCACUUGCCGAGCAUCAUCAGCAGCCGCGCGUAGGUCUGCGACCUCGGCUCGUACCAGUGCUGCUUCCGCAGCAGCUCGAAGAUCUAGCGGCAAGCAAAGCAAGAGACACGGUAAGCAUCGUUGAGGAGAGCAGAAGAUCCUCCGCGGGGAAGGAGGGGGGAAAAGCGUUGGGAAGGAGGGGACCUCCAGGGCGGACUCCCAGCGGCAUGCGGCGACGGUGGAGUCGAGGGCCUCGAGGACGACGCGGGGCCAGAGGUUUGUGGACUGCUGCCGCGCGGCCGCGGCCUUGCGGGAGACGCCCGAGACGGCGGCCUCGGUGCGGAGGAUGUGGGCGAGGGCGUCCGGCUGCUCGUGCUCGGCCUCGCCGACGCGGGUGGACGGGGACAGGCGAGGCGGUGCCGAUGCGGAUGACGGAGCCAGGCGAGGUGGUGCCGAUGCGGAUCACGGCGGCAGGCGAGGCGGUGCGGAUCACGGAACCAGGAGAAGGGGAUCAGAGCGAAGGGGAUCAGGGGUCUUCGGUUUGUGCUCACGGUGGAAAGGGGAAGGGGAUCGCGGGUCUGCUGACGGAAAGGGGAGGGUAUCACGGAGGGAUGGAGGUUUCCAAGUUUAGCUGGCGACGUGGACGCACGACGCGAAUGGGAGACGGACGAAACCAAAACCGCACAAAAAAAAAUGUCCUUGUUUUAGUUUUUUUUAGUUGUAGGAGAUUUAUUUUGGCUAAAUAUUUGUAAAAUUAUAGUAAAUAACAUAAAAUUCAUAAAAUAGUACAUCUGAUUUUGUUGGAUUCCAGAUAAGUAGAUCUACACAGUGAACAUAUAAUAUGGUAUGUUUUAGUACAAAGUAUUUGUUGUAGUUUUAUAUCUAUGUUUUUUUUAUAAUUAAUUAGAAUAAUUUAUAGCUAGAGUUGUAUGGUCCAAUUGUGAUGAAUUUUUUAUGUUGGGUUAAUUAUUAUAUGUUUAAACUGUGAUAAAAAUUUCAUACUUAUUAGAUCAUGUAUAACUUAGUUAUAAAUUUAUUAAUAUUUAAUAAGCGUAAACCUAAAUAAAUCUAUAACUAAGUAAUACAUGAUCCAAUGAUUAUGAAAUUUUUAUUACAACUCAAGCAUAUAAUAAUUAGCCUACCAUAUAAAUUUCAUCACAAUUGGAUUAUAGAAACUGUAGCUAUAAUUAGUCUAAUUAAUUACAGAAAAGUAUAUAUCUAAAGUUGUAUCAAACAAUUUGUACUAAAAUAUACUCCCUCCAUCCCAAAUUAUAAGUCAUUCCAAGAAUCUUGGAGAGUCAAAAUAUUUUCAUAUUUGACCAAAUUUAUAGAGAAAAAUAGUAAGAUUUGUAACGUAAAGUGAGUAUAUUAUGAAAAUAUAAUUAAGGAAGAAUCUGAUGAUACUUAGUUGGUAUCAUAACAAUAAUUAUUUUAUCAUAUAAAUUUGGUCAAACUUAGAAAAGUUUGACUCUCCAAGAUUCUUGGAAUGACUUACAAUUUGGGAUGUAGGGAGUACUAUACUAUAUAUUCAAUGUGUAGAUCUACUCAUCUGAAGUCCAAAAAAAUUAAGUUUUAUGUUUUAUGAUUUUUAUGUGAUUUACGGUGAUUUUCAAAAAAAAAUUAGCCGAAAUAAAUAAAAAGAAAAAGAUAAAACCACUUUCAAAACUAGAUAAUAUGCACACUUUUUAAAGUUCAAGGAUGUAAAUCAGAUUUUUAUGAAAAUUGAGGGAUCUAGAGUGAUUUUUUUUUUCAAAAUAAAUCAAACGUGCACAUGCUGGUAGUACGUUUGAAUUACGAAUCCUACUAAGUACCGGUCCGGCCCGGCCCCUUUAUCUUGCGGCCCCCGCGCCUUUUGUUCUCCCGUUCCCCAGGCCCAGUCUCCCACGCAUCGCGGUUCUCCCCGUGUCCUUCGCGUGAGUUCUGCGACGACUACGCGACCGCCGGCGCCAGCGCCAGCGCCAGCGCCGCCGUUCGCCAGGUUUCCGGAUCUCUAUCUUCGGGUUGGAGCCCUUCACCGGCGACGAGCAGCCACCAGGUACGCCCACCCCAUCUCUUCCGUUCCUGCUGUGCGGAACCGAGCACCCAAACCCUAACUAUUGGUAACCGUAUCUGAUCUGAUCCAAUUAGUGUUGCGAGUCCCGAUGGCGGAACCAGCGAAGCCCGAGGUGACGGAGGAAGCUAAGAUGGACCUGCUCGAGGACGACGACGAGUUCGAGGAGUUUGAGAUCGAUCAAGGUAUGCUUCCUCGUCGAAUCCCCGGUUCUUCCUGGUCAUCUGCUAGGUGGCUCCGUUGUCAAGAUCUGGUUAGGGUUCGUUAGCUCAGGUGUUUUUGUUUUUGUGUCACAUAGGGGGUGUGAAAUAUCUGUUGCUGUCACUUGUGCGAUGUAGGGCUGUGCCCAAACUAUUGUCCGUUAGUAGACGCGCUGGACAUUCUGAUCUUGUUUAUCUAGUGGACCGGAGUCUUAUCUUUCUGUAAAGUAGCUAAAAUUUGUGGCUAACCGGCUGCUCCAAAAUUGAUGAUUUCAGAUGGGUUUGCUCUUUCUGCGCUGAAAACAUUUGUCUGCUGUUCCAUAUUAUGAAAUUCUAUCCACAACCUGAGAUAUUUCGCUAUAGAUAGAUGACAUUUGGGCUAAUAUGUUGAGUCGGUUCGAACUUGAAUUGUGGUUUAUUUAUCUGUAUGAAUUACUAGAUUCAUUUAUUAAUUGCUCACCCCAGAGACAAGCAAAGUGCCACUUAUAGAACAAUAAUAAUGCAACCUUCAGGAAAAACUCCAAUAGUGAGUUUCUGUGGCAACAUCAACGCAAACUAACAGUUAUUAUAUCGAGAGAGUGUUUUUCUAGAUUGAUUUGAAUCGUGUUUCGUGUGUGCAGUUCAUAAAUGUUAUAGAGGGAUUGGUUACUACAUGCAUGGCACGUUACUGCCAUGAGUGCAUUCAGCCUAUUUUUUGUGCUUAAAAAUCUCUUAAUUUCUUUAGACAAUCUGUACAUGCCUAUAUGCUAGAUCAAGUUGAAAGAUCAAAUCCCAGAUGCAUUUAUGCUUGCUUUGCAUUAUUAGAAACUUAGAAGACAUCACAAGAUUGAUGUUGCAUUUGAGUGUUCUGGUGUUGUUUCCUAGUUAAUCUGUUCACCAUGACCCAUUUGGAUUAUCUUGUUUUUUUAGUUUCCUCUUUGUCCGUUGUUUCUUUUGGUUGUGUAGUGUAAUGACCUGUUCAAUUCGACAAGAUAUCAAACUUGUUUAUGAAACUGUUACAGACAAAAACAAUGCUGGCAUUACCUAAAUACCAGUCUGAUACUAACUUCUGAAUUACAGAGUGGGAUGACAAGGAAGAAGGCAAUGAAGCACUUCAGCAAUGGGAGGAUGACUGGGAUGAUGACGAUGUCAAUGAUGACUUCUCGCUGCAGCUGAGGAAGGAGCUGGAGAGCAAUGCGCCCAAGAACUAGCUAGCAUUUGCAUUUUGCAACUGUUAUUUGUUCUGGACCUUGGCAUGGCUACUUUGAUGUAGUCGCUGCAUUUGCUGUUGUUAAUACCUUGAUUACUGAAAGAUCUAUUUUCCGAGUUAUAUUAACCUGCUUUCAUCAUCAUCUAAUAAUAAUCCAAAUCUGAUCGGUCUAUUCAGAAGUCUGCAAGGCGCUGUUGUUUGCAUAUCAUCUAUCUUUGUUGUUUGCAUAUCAUCUAUCUUUGCCAUCCAAGCUGUCUGCAAUGUUGCGGUUUGAUACUUGUCUUGAAGGGAAAUUUUAGUUGCUCCAUAUGGUUACCUGUCAAUCAGUUUACUUCUGAGCAGCUUAAACCAGUAACGUAGAGUACUAUCGCAAAACCCUUUAGUAACGUUGAGUACUAUCGCUAAACAUUUUUUUUUUGAAGGAUCUGUCUAGAUAACAAUUGAGUGAUUCAAGGGCAGCCAUUAGUUAACUUUUUGACGCAUAGACCAUCUUUAACAACACCACCCAAAAUACAAGACUAAUUCAACGCAAUCUCCAACAACACCACUCAAAAUACAAGACUAAUUCAACAUUUGGUAGCGCUACAGGCAAAGAGUUCAAUAUCCAUUUAACAUCUUCUGUAAUAACAAGACCCAAAAUAGAAUCUUUUUUACAAAUAGUUUUAAGGAGAGAAGACAUUCAUAUUUGGGUUGUGCCUCUCAAACAAUCUAAAUGGGGUCUCCCGUAGUUAACUUUUUGACGCAUAGACCAUCUCUAACAACACCCAAAAUACAAGACUAAUUCAACGCAAUCUCCAACAACACCACCCAUAAUACAAGACUAAUUCAACGCUUGGUAGCGCUACAGGCAAAGAGUUCAAUAUCCAUUUAACAUCUUCUCUAAUAACAAGGCCCAAAAUAGAAUCAUUUUUACAAAUAGUUUUAAGGAGAGAAGACAUUCAUAUUUGGGUUGUGCUUCUCAAACAACCUAAAAUAGGGUCUCCCGUAGGUACUUAGUUAGAAGCCGAUUUUAGAUCUCCUGCUACCCAUUUUGGGUUUGGAUGCCCAUAUGGGUCACUUAUUGGAGAUAGUCUUAUAGAUAUAAAAUAGAGGGUUGAGAUCAAAUCUCUCUCCAUUAUAUCUUCUUUCAUCUUCUUCCUCCACGCGCACACCACUGGACCCUAACAAGCCACUCGCCUCUGCCACCUUUGCCUCCUCGCUUGGCUGUAGCGGCUCCCUUGUUGUUGGAUCCGCUAGCCUCCACCACAACCCGAUCUGGUACUAAAAUCCAUUGGAUGUGUCUCCUCGCCGUCUUCUUCAUCUUCACUCUGAGCUCCCUACUUCCAUGCUAAUCUGGUGGAGGUUGUCGAGAUAUAUCCAUCACACCCCCGUCCUUGUCCUGCCCAACUGCCUUCCUUCACUGCCCAGCUGGCAGUGCCACUGCCACGACUGCAAUCACCACUUGGGCAGCCUUUUCUCAUGAAUCCUUAAGCCCGCCAGAUUUAGGUGACACCUUGAAUCCCAAACCCUAACCCUAACCUUGCCAACCUAGUGAACCCCCUUGGGACAACACCCACAGUUAGUAGUUGCAAUCAUAUCUUAUCUUAAACUAUAAUAGGAUUUACAUAGGUGUCCUUAGGUGGGUACCACCUAACCAACCUCCUUGUGACAACACCCAUAGUGUUGGUUGACCAUGCUUAUAUCCUCUAUCAAUUCCAGAAUCACUACACCAUCGUUGCCAGCAAAUCCUACGAGGGAUAUAACAAAACCAAAUCAUAAACUACCAAGCACAACAAUUAAAUCCCGAUUUUGCUACUAAGAAUGAGGAGUCAAUGUGAGAUUUGCCACUAUACUACACGCUUUAGGAAGAGUUACUUUGCCAAGAACUAUGAUGUCAUAGCAUAUGUUAUUGUAUUUCUAGAAGAUAUCUACUUGUCCAAUAAAUUGUCUCUUAGAUGUCACUGAGUUGGAUGAGUAUUAUGUGAGUAAAAUCCUAGUUGUCAAUUAUGUUGCCAUCUAGUUGGCUAGUAGUUGUCAUGUAGUUGUACAUGAAUCAUGUACAACUUUGGAGCCUAAAAAUAUAGGAAAUUAAUAUUUUAAUUUUUGGGAUUCAUGCAGUCUGCUAUAUAUUAACUUGAUGAUGUUCCUAUUAUUGAUUUCUUUUAAGAUAUACUAUUUGAUGAAUUAGGUUUCCCUUAGGGGAUUAUCUGCUAUUAUGUUAAAGUUAUUCCUUCAAAAACUUUGCUUUAUAUCUCUUACCACCUUGGAGUGGUUCCUCCAAUGCUAGUGUGUUACACGAUAUACCUUGUGACACAAACCCUACACUAGGCAAAUGAAAAGAUCAUAGGAUCAUAGAAGAAUUUCAACAAAUAGGAAUCAAACAUGUAGUGAGAACAAUUAACAAAAGUUAGAACCCUACAAUACUAGUUUACAAUAAGAUAUAGUCAGUGACAUGACACUUUUGCAAGAUCAUAGGAAACCAUGAAACAAAUCUUCCAACAAAAAAAAUAUUAGCAAGAAGAAGGCAAGAACACAAAAGUGACAUCACAAUUAUGAGUUACAACACUAACAUGAAUCGGUACAUUUGUUUUUUUUGUUCCAAAAAUGCAUACCAAGUUGUUGAUAAAAAACAAGCCAUUUCAAGUUAGAGGGAUAAACCCAAGCUUGGCGAGAAAUAGAGGACUAGAAAAAAGUAGGGGUGAUAGUGUGGAAGCGAUGCAAACUCCCAAGGACUGUACCCAUUGCUAGCUUGGAUUCUGAGGAUAGAGAUUCCUAUAAGGGGGCAAACUAGUUUGCUUAAAUCAUCUUCAAAAGCUCCUCUAAACUAUUCUCAAAACCGUUUUUAGCCAAAAACAAAAAAUUGACCCUCCAACAAUUGUAGUCUGCACUUCCAAUCUUUUAUAGAUUCCUGAAUCUCUCAAUCAACUUGUACCUUCCCAAUCACUCUUGACCAUUGCAUUUUUGUUUCCUCAUGCAGUCAUUUGUUUCUCUCAUGUGAUUUUUUGUUUCUCUUAAGCAGUUCUUUGAUCCUCCAUCGCCCACUAUUGGCUACCCUUGUCGCGCCUAACUAGUCUUGGUCAUCCCUGACCGCUCACUGGCCAAGCUAGGGAAGUCACAUAGGUAUGGAAACAAAAACAUAAAGAUGUUGUAGAAUGGUAUAUUUUUUCUAUACCAAACGGUGUUUGUGAGCUUCUAAAAUCAUAAUUUAUUGGAAUGAUUUUUUGUUGUAAACUCUUGGAUAUUUUCUUAGGAUAGACUAAAGCAAAUUGUUGGGAUUUACCCAUUAUACCUCAACCCACCCCUUCAAUCACCGGUCAUUAAAAAAUCUUGUGUUGUCACAUAGGUGGAAAGGACUUGUCCUUUGUAUGAUAUUUUAUAGUCAUCUUUGAAUAUUUGCUAUCUCUAAAUAUUUUUAUUUCAUUUUUCUAUGAUAUAUCUAUAUGAAAAUUGGUUAUGUAGAUGAUCCAUGUUAAGUAUCCAUGGCUGAAUGGUUAAAGCGCCCAACCAUAAUUGAUAAUUUUGCGAGUUCAAUUCUUGUUGGAUGCAUGCAAAUGAGAACAUUCUGUAAGUCUAUUAGAACUGGCUCUCUAUCUAUGGAAUCUCAUCCAUCAUCUUUACAUAAUGAAUUGGUAUGGUAUAUUCAUACCAUAACAUAAGAACUCAAAUUCUUAUCGAUACUAGAACUUAGAGCAUAGGAGGGAAAGUCAAUUUAUGGAUGGAAUAAAAUUUGUAGUAUUUAGAAGAAGGCCCAACUCAAAGGUUAAAUAAAAGCCACUAUGGCAAAGAUAAAAUGAUGAAGGUUUGAAUCAAAGUCUUGGUACAAAGAAAAAAUCCAAUUCAAAGAAGCCUUGGGACAAAGACCCCAAGUUGAAGGUCAAACCCAUAGCCCUACAUCAAAGAGUCAAUGUGCAGUAAAAGAUUGGCUUUGUAUGCAUGACUAUCAAAGCAACCUUAUCUUGCGUUGUCAUUUUAAAGUAGUUUGUAGCUAUGUAAAGGCUAUUUCACACAAAUAUUCUUGAAGUAUAGUUGCUAAGUUGGGGCCAAGAGGACAUCUUUAGUGGUCGGGCAAAAAUCUCCAAAAUAUUAUUUACAUGGGAUGACUUUUGCAUUUCCUCAAUAAUUCAUUGUGUUCUGUUUGUCUCUAUACUUGCAUAUAAACACUACAAAAAAUUCCAUUUUCACAUCACAGUAAUUCAAAUUAGUAUGUUUCUACUACACAUAAUCCAAAUCAAACAAUUUAAAAAAUUUAAACAUAUGUCAUAUGGUCCAAAACUCCAAAUGCAUAAGAUAAAACUAAAUUCAAGCAUAACAUAUGAUCCAAUGGAUAAUAUAGAUCAUCACAAGCUCCUAUUUCCACUACCAUUCCCAUUCCCAUUCCCAUUCCCUCUCCCAUCCUUCAUGCUAGAGUUUAUGCAUGCAUUAAUUCCAUGUUGGCUAUUUAUGCACAUGCAUUCUGCGCACAUAAAAAUCUAUGUUUGUUUGUUUUGCAAGAGGUUCAUACAUUUUGUCAUUUGAAAAUUAGAAUUUCAAUUCUAGUUUAUCAUAAUUGGCAUAAUGGGUUUAUUUUUCUAAACUUUUUAUAUGAUUUAGAUUGCAUUGUGUUAGUUCUUGAAUUCUUUACUUUUUCUUUACCAUGGGCAAGAAUGCAACCAUGAUAAUGUUAGAUGAUAGUGAAGGAUAUCAAUUCUUGUGCAAAAAUGUAAUAAACAUUCUCAAAUGAGUCUAGCUAGCUUGUGAAAUGUAUCGUUAGAACCUAGAUUUGCUCAUCCUGGCUUCUCACAAUUGACCAAGCCACAUGAUAUAAAGGAAACUAGUCACCACCUAGUGCACUUGGGUGAGGUGCUCUAGUACUAGGUAGUCGCAUUUUAGCAAACUGUAAGAAAACUAUCAUUGUAAAAAAUCCAUAUUAUGCAGUACAAGGAUUAGACAUGCCAAAAAAUAUGAUGUAACUCUUCUUGUUUUAGCUCCCUUUUUUCUAUCAUAUCAACAUUAAACAACACUUCAUUAAAAGAUAUCUAAUAGACAUGUCACUAAGAUUUAAUUUCACACGCCGAGAGGGAAAGGGUUUCUCCAUCUUUUCUUCCACGUGCAUGAGUAUACACAUACACUAACACCACACACAUCUAAACCAAUGAACUGUACAUAUUUUGAUGAUCACAACACUAGUAAAUUUAGUGGAACUUACUACCUCUCAUAAUUUUGGAGGUUAACGAGGGGCGAGACCUACGCAACUCUAGUGAUCUAACCUAUACUAGUUAGGCAUGUUCUUCUUACUCUAUGGUCUAAGGGUUUAUUUAGCUUGUCUCCUCUAGCUCACCACUAUGUAGUUGUGGCACCCCAAAACCACAACACAUGGUUUGUUCGCCAAGUGCUGCAAAUGGUAUUGUAAACUAAAGAGAAAAGUUUGAAUGGCCAAACUUGUAGCAGACUAUGGAAGCAAACACAAAUAGAGGCUCUAUUGCGAACUUUUUUGUAGAUUGGGAAGCAAUCCAAACACACUCUAUGGUUAGGCUCAAUGACACACUCUAAGAUGGGAGUUCUAGGCUCCACAUCUAUAUUUAAUAUCAAACAAGCAUGAAAAGUGGUUCGGGCUUGUCCAACACACCAAGCUUUUGUACUGUCCUAUUAGUCUCCACGUUGUCGUUGAGCAUCCAUGUCACCAAGGAUGAUGGUCUUGCUGUUAGAAUGACUCACAGGAAGCAAAAUAGGUCUCACUUACAUAAGUGGAAGCAACACCUGGACUCAUGUUGUGGAGAAGGUUGCGAGAGCGUAGGAAAGAGAAGUUGCAAAGCCCAUAGAAAAUGCAUGCAUAGUAGAGCCCCAAAAAAGUAGCUUACAUUUGGGUGCAUUAUAAUACUAUUGGCCUCAACUCGUCAUCUAUAUGGACUACGACUUUUGGUUUGAGCUAACAAAACUACUUGCUUUGCUAGCUUGUGCCCUUAGAACGAUAUUCAAGGCAUUGUUUGGCAUACGGAGGUGCUCAUAGGGGAUAGGAUAUGGGUAUGUACGUGUGUGCUUGUAUAUAUAAGCAUAUGCGUUUGUACUGGAUCUCGAAAAAAUAAGACCUUGUGAUAGACUCUACCCAUUAAGGAGAGAGGAAUUAGAGGGAUGCAAAUCAAAAGUUGCCGAAUAACAACAUUAGUGUGCAUACGUUAUGGGUGUGUGCUUCUUUCUAGUUUAUGUUGAGAAUGGUCUAAAAGCAACUCUAAAAGCCUAUUUAUAUCAUUCCGUAUUAAGGAAAAUAUAUUUUCAUGAAGAAGAAAAAAAAUCUCUAUAAGAUCUCUAAAUAUUUCCAUCUCUACAAUAAAGCGGAGCUGGCUCUUAAGAUUCUUAUAAUAACAAAAUAGGAAGAAAUUGUAUAGGUAGCAGUUUAUGAGAAGAAGUUUGGAGAUAUUAUUGUAACCACCAACGCGCAAUCUGAGCCGUCGAUCUCCACGACCCCUCUGUUCACACGACCACGGUCUCCACCGGGAAAGGAAUUGGGGGCGAUUCGAGCCCAAAGAUCGCAUCGGCAUGGCAUCCAAAUCCAAAGGCCCAAAGCGCAAAAAGGCGAUGAGGCGACGAGAGAGACGCGAGCGAGUCGGAGCGGUCGGUCCUCUCGUCUCUCCCGUUGGGUUCCAUGGACAACGGACGGGAGGUGGCGUGGUGGACACAGCUCGCCGGGCGGUGCCAACAGCGUGACGCCCGCUGCCGCGAUUGGAAUUGGAAACUAGAAACUGCCCCCCCCCUCACCUCCUCACGAGGCCCCUGCUCCCAGCCUUCGUCUUCUCCCUCCUCCCUCCCCCUCCCCCUCCCCCUCCCCCUCCCCGCGUUUUUCAUUCAUCAUCAAUCAUCAGGAUAAAAAAGGCCCAGAUUCAUGGAUGCUUCCUCCCCUCGCCCUCGCCUCCGCGUUUGAGCCACAGACCCGAGCGAUCGUGCCCCGAUCCCGAUUACCCACCAAUCUUUUUCCUCCGCCAUGGCGAUCCGCCCGGACUAAUGCCUGAUUCUCCGUCCGACGAUCCUCGGUAAGCCCUCGCCCGCCCCCCACUGGUUUGGUCCUGCGUGGUUCACAUGGCUCGUCAGGUUCUUGCGGGUUCCUUUCCGGUGUGUGUGUGUGUGUGUUUUUUUUUCUUGUUGCGGAUUCGUCUUGCGUGUGGGUGUUCCGCGGACUCCCUUGUUGCCCUGCUCGAGUAUCAUUCGCUACGAUUUUCUUGUUUUCUUUAGUCAUUCGUAGGAAUCCUCCUGUUCUACAGGGUUCUGUUACGAAUCCGUGGGGUUUUCUGUUGCAGAAUUGAGCUUUUUCCUGCGGAGGCUUGGACCAUUCUCGUGCGCUCCUUUGAUUCUCUUCGUCCCCUGCGAAUUUCGUUGCUGAACGUCAUCUGUCCGCUCGCAGGUUCUUCUUCUGGAGGAAGAUUGGGGCGGAAUUCUGGUGGGGUUCGUGUGGGCGCGUAGGGCCCCCUGACGGCCUGGCCUGACGCAUCAGCGGCGAGCCAUGGCUCCCGCUCCCGUUCCAGCUCUACCUCCAGCCAUGGAUAAUAAGGAUGAGGGCGACGGUGGCGCCAAGAACCAGAACGGCAUGGUGGUGGACGAGGGCGACAGUGGCGCCAAGAACCAGAACAGCAUGGUGGUGGUGAAAUCCGAGGCUGUCUGCACGGAUGAUGGCCCUCUGGUGGUCGCUACUGAGCUUGUGAAAUACGAGGGAGGCGAUACCACUGAAUGCUCGAGCUCGUUUGGGGACACCUGCUCUGGAUUUGAAGGCGAGGCAGACAAUGGUGAACCAGAAGUGAAUUCUGGCAUGUCCGCUCAUGACAAUGGUGUUGGGCCCUCAAAGCCCCCUAGGUGAGUCCUCCAUACUUCCUCGUUUGCCCUGAAUGCUACUGAUCUCAUUAUUGUGCAUUCCUGGUUCAUGGAAGAAUGAACAGGUGUAAGAUUAUGCUAGGUUGUUAUGUGCUUUUGUGUUUCAGUGUUUGCCUGUUUGGUUUUCCCUCUCUCCCGCGCUCCUGGUGAUAAAACAGAAGGUUGUAGUAGGGUUUCGACUUAUACUAUGUUGUAAUUAUUGCACCUUCCUGAUUGCGGAAGCGACAAGAAACGUAGGAUCAUCAUUGUACCUAAAACAGAAAGAUAUGAUUCAGUAACGUAAUGCGGUGUCUUGUAUGCUUAUUGAUUAGUACCUUCCCAUCGGAAUUUUCCUUUUCUGGGCCACAUUUCGUUCAUCAUUUAUAUGAAAUGUUAAAAACUUAGAAGGUGAUAAUAACACUUAGAUUAGGACAGGUAUAAUUUCUGCGCAAUUCUUAUAUGCCAAAUAGAAGCAGGUAGCAACAGCCUGAAAAAAAAAUGUGUUCUGUCCUAUGAAGUGCCGUGCCACUUAUGUGAAGUGUGCCAAUCACAAUCAGAAGAGGCAAAUUACCAGAUAACCCUAUGAUCUUAUGUUUUUCAGGUAGCUAUUUAGAAACACAAUUAAGCAAAUGGUAGCUUAUUCAAAAGCAUUGUGAAUUUACCGUUUUGGUUGUUCAACCAGGACUUCGUUUCAGCAACCAGGUAGAUUAAUUCGAUUAUAAUCGGCAUGGAUUUAUGGGUGACCAUAUGUCUGUCAAUCCAGUAGUAGGCCAAAACACAAAAUAUUGACACAAAGAGCACAAAUAUCCUUCUGGUUAGAGAGUCCUUGUGUCAGUGUUACCUUUUUCUUCUUUAGCUUUUUGGAAAAGUUCACCUAGGUGUUUUACUAAAUGGUAUAUGUUAAACAUGAUAGUCUGAAUUUGCAAAAGAAGUUUCCAGCUUGGGAUUCAAAACCAUGCCAACAUUGAUGAUUUUUUUUAUUGCUGUAGACCUAUAUAGAUUCCUUUUGUGCCUUUCAGGAGACAUUGUUAUUUUUAUGCUUAUUGCCUUUCUUUAAAAGUAUGGUUCUGAUUUGUGCCUGCUUAUUUCUGAUAUUCAUGCUUUAAUAAAAAAACUAUAAUGUGUAGUCAUGAACAAAGAAAUCGAUAUUGAGCUACUCUUAUGAAUGCUUCAAAGUGUAAGCUUACCUGUCAUUUUAUGGGUAUGGCUAGAAUAUAGAACAAGCAACUACAGUACUUGCUAUAUUUCUUAUCUUGUUGUAAUGUUUUAUUUUGACAUGCUUCAUUUUUAUACAAAUUUUUUGUGAUUAAUCUUCAGAAGGAAAAAAGUGAUGGCUGAGUGGAGCAAUUCUGUUCGUCCAAUUGAGUGGAGAUGCCACUGGUUAGAGUUGCGAAUGAGGGAACUGUCAUCUCAAGUAUCAAAGUAUGACAGGGAGCUUGCUCUAAUAAAGAAACAAAAGGAAUCAAAACAAGCAGUAAGCAAAGCAAAUGGUACUAUGUCAGAAUCGAUGCAGAUUCACAAAGGCCAUGGAAAGAGUAUCAUGAAGAGGAGAAAGAGGAAGAGGCAUGAAGAAAAUGUUGAUGCGUCCUCGUACAUCAGCAAGCACCGGAUAUUGUCAUACUACCAUGGUCUGGCAUCCAAUUAUGUCGUCUUCUUUGUAGGGAUAGGACAUCAAUUUAUCUGUGUUUGUGUUAAUUUUGCACCAGGUUUCGUUCUUAAUGACAAUAAUUCUUUCAAUAUUUUGCAGAUAAACAAAAUAAGGGAGCUGAAACUGAUGGUGUCUUGGUUGAUGACGAUUGUGUCACAGGUAUGAAUAUAUCUAUUCAGUAUCUUGUCAAACUUUUCAGUGAAGUUAAAAUGGAAAACAUAGUAUCUAGCAAAGGUACACCAUUAGACAGAAUUAGCUCUUGACUCAGUUGUGAGAAAAAAGUUGCUUUUGUUACACCAUAUGCAGUAUGCACGCUAUCAAAGGAAACCAAGAUAUCUAAUAUAACCUUGGUGCCCCAGUUUUUUUCUUUAACACAAAGGAGACCUGCGCAUCUUUGUAUUAAGAAUAAAAAGGGGCAAGAACCCUUACAAUGCACACCGACACACCCUUUGAUUUUAAGAAAAAUAAGCGCCCUUUUUGUACAACAAACAUGAUCUUGACCAAAACUAGAAACUAGACACCAUCCCAUUUUUGCCUUUUCAUUUUAGACUAUACCUUCGAUUUUACUUUAUUAGAAUAUAUAUGUCAAUAAAAGUAUAAAACCUACAAUUGUUUGAAAGCACAUUACAUGGCAAUUUUUUAAUGUCAUUUAUGUGACAAAUCUUAAUGCUUACAUGUACUUUUGUGGUCUUGGUUUUUAAAGUUGGAAAGUAUCCAAGCAAAUAUUCUCUCUAUCCAAGUAUGUAGGGUGUAUUUUAUUUUGGCAGUGUUCAAAACUAGACCUUUUUUUAACCGGGAUUGAAAACUAGACUUUGAUCAUUUUUUUCUCGCAAUACUGUUUACACAUUACAGCUAUAACACGAAUUCAGUGUGAAAGCACUUUGAAAUAUUUAUGCAGCUGUAUUGUUUAUACACAAGUAAUACAUAAUUUGACUAAGCUUAAAUCAGAUAUAUGGUCUUUGAAUUUCCAGAAACAUGCAUACCUUACAUAAUUUGAAAGAGUUAGUUUAUAUAGCCAUAUGAUAAAAUCAUAAAACAUGCCAACAUCUUCCUGACCCUCUAUGGUUUUAUUUGAUAUUAUGGUAGCUUUCCCAUUUUUGGAUAGAUCAAUGAAGGACAUACAUAACCACUCGAGGUUUAGUUAAAUUGGCCAUGCAGAAACUGUGAUUCAUCUUUAUUCUCUGCCUAAGUAAUUGUCAUGCAAGUGCUAACUGUGUAUUUGGUUCAUUCUGAUUGCAGUUGAUGGUAGUAGCAGAGGUGGACUUGACACUGCUACAUUGCUUGAUUCCGAGGAUUAUGAUAUGAUUUGCGAGCAACGUACUUUACAGGAUAUUCUCCUGGAAAUUGAUGGGGUUCAGUCUCGAGUUCAAUUGCUGAAAGAUCGUCUCAACAAGGCUCAUUCUGAAGGAGAAAAUUUGGCAUUUUCUGGGGGCGAUACUCAUGUCCGGGUGUCUCGGAAGAGACAGCAUACUCAAAAGCACUCAUUCUCUUAUACAAAGUCUCGACACACUAAACCACAGAAAAAGAAGAAUCUAAACAUUUUGCUGAAGGAUGAUGAUGGACAAGCUCUUGCAGGAGGAUCUGCUUUGCUUCACAGAGAAACUGGUGCUCAUAUAAUAGGUACAAGUAGGAGUACUGAAGAAAGAAGUGGAGAGUGCAAUCACUUGAGGGACAAAGCCAUCACUUUGGACCUACUGUUGGGUACUGGCAAUUCCAUAACAAAUAGUGAUAUUGGGGAUUUAUACAAAGAAGUAAGUCUUUGGCCCUUUGCUUAUUCUUAUUCCUAAUUUAAUAAUUCAUUGCUUGUUUGGAGUUGGGUUGAUACUCUGGAAUUGCUGCUUACAGAUUAGAAUUUGGAUCAUCUUAUAUGCAAAUUAAGCUUGGGAUGUAUAAAUUCGCCCAUUUACUAUUUCUAGAGAAAAUAUUGAGAAAAUUACACUGCAUUUCUAAAAAUAUUGCAGGGAUGUCCGCUUUACUUGAUUACAUUUAAAUAAAAAAAGCAUGAUACCCAUGUAAACAUCUACUGUUUCUCUGUAGGAACCUGGAUCUGUAGUUAUGUCUUGGAUAUGAGGUAGGGGCUUAAAAAUUAUUAGGAUGUUUGUAAAUUAGAUCCAUACAGAAUUCUAUAUCUGCUUUGUUAGUCAUAGAUAUAAGAUAUCUCUAGUGAAAUUUGCAUGUUAUAAGAUUGAAGCCAUCAGGGGAGCAAUGUGAUGAAGCUAGUUAUUUUUAAAUUUGUUUUUGCAAACACACAAAUACUAGUAAUAUAGUAUGUUAUGUUUCCAUGACUACAUUUUGAAAGCUUAAUGAUAGUUGUGCAUCUAAAACUAUUUCACUGAUGUUGAACCACUAACGUUUUAGCUGAUUGGGCGAUAUAUUUGCACUAGCAGUAGCAUUUAGUUGAUACUACUGUUUCUUUUCUUUUUCUGUAGAACACUGAUGAUAUCCUCAUAGACAAUCAAGGAGCCAAUGAAGCUUGUGAGCAGUUUUAUAAGGCAAAGCAGCCUUCUGGAAGUUCUUCCAAAGACCAGAACAUUUCUGCUGCAGCAGAAAUGAAGAAUAAUUCUCCACCAGUGGAACUGAAGAACACUAGUGCUGCAGUUAAAGUUGAGAGCAUUUAUGCUCCAGUUGAAGUAGAUAGCACUUCUGCACCAGCAUUGGAGCAAGAGUCAUUCCUUGAAAAGUCACCCUCGAGGAAGCCUGUCUCCCCUGGGAACAAGCAGGAGCUGGAACCUAAGACAAGGCAGAAGAAGAAAGUCUCUUUCUUUACCAAGAAGCAGAGGAAAGAGGCCUCCAGAACUCCUGAUGCAAAGGAAAAAACUGAGGGCAUGUCCUCAGCUGCAAAGAACCAAAGGAGCACGGCCUCUGAUGUAGCAAAGGAGAAAACUGAAAGCACACCCUCUGCUGCAACAGGUCCAGGUGGAAAGAAGCGUAAAUCUGGAAUUGAACCUGCAAAUGCAGAGAAGCCAUCCUCAGCAGUGAAGAAGCAGAAAACUGGGAAGCCAUCCUCAGCAGCUACAAGGGCGCCAAAGGCUAAAAAUGCAGGCCCAGCAACAAAGAAGCAGGAGACUGAAAGCUCAUCCUCCACAGAGAAGACCGCGAGUGCCCCCCUGAAGUUGCAGGUUGAGAAGGCUGUACUGGUUGUAAAUAGCAGGAGGAGCCAAAGGGUCCGUAAGCCCAAAGUUUUUGCUGAAUGAAGAAGCAGAUAGAAUCGUCUUAGGCUCUCUGGUGUGUAUGUAUCUUGUAGCCUCGCCACCAAAAUCGGUGGCCAUAUCAACAUAGGAAGUGCUGGAUCGCCGCACAAGUUAGACUUUAGUGUACAUAUAUCAGCUCUGCCUAGGUGGAAGAAAGUCUCACCCAAAUUGUAGAUUUGUUGGUUGGUUGUUUUUAACCCUUCUCUUCUGGGGUACCAGAUUAACAAUGUCAUGCUGUGUUACCGUUAUAUCGAAAAGAAAAAAAAAGGAGAAAAAUAUGCCAUGCAACUGCAACUUGACUUGUCGCAUCUUCGUGCCUUUAACUUACGGAGUUUUGGUAACAUGUAGCAUUUUUGUUUUAUUUGAUAAUUAAUGUUUAAUUAUAGACUAAUUAAGUUUAAAAGAUUCGUCUUGCAAAUUAUUUUUUAGCUAUGUUUUUAGUUUCGUAACUAGUUUAUAUUUAGUAUUUCAUGCAUAUAUUUAAACAUUUAAUGUGACAUGAGUUAAAGUUUACCGUGACGAACCAAACGGGACUAAACCGCCUGUGCAGUUUCAAUCUUGAAAGCGAGAUUGGCAGCAGUGGUGUCGAGGAGGAAGAUCGAAGCAGUGGUAGGUCGUGACUGGAUAACUGGUACUCCAUUAACGAACACAAGGACUCUGAUGCACCUAACCAUGUCCUUGGACCUUGGCCAUGUGAACUCUGAGCCCACACCUUUUCUCCUGAUCAGACAUUGGCCAUCUCUUGUGAUGCUGCAAUUGCAGUUUGCAGGAUACCAUGAAUCGAUCCAGCUACUUCACCACUGUUGUGCUAGCCAGGCUGCUACCACAGGCGAGAAAGGAUGGAGGACCCUCAAGGCCUUGUUUAAGGGAAAAAUUUCGUUACACUGUAGUACUUUCGUUUGUUUGUGGUAAUUAUUAUCUAACUAUAGACUAACUAGGCUCAAAAGAUUCGUGUCGUAAAUUCCAACCAAACUGUACAAUUAGUUUUUAUUUUUGUCUAUAUUUAAUAUUCCAUGCAUACGUCUAUAUAUUUAAUGUGACGGAGAAUCUUAAUAAAUUUUGGGUUUUAGGGUGGAAGUAAACAAAGCCUGCCUGUGCCAGCUGUGCUGAUGGAUGAAGCUGUAAUCUUGCAGUUACAUACUCCUAUAUGGGAAUGUGCAUGGGCCAAAGUAAAGAUGCGAUUGCCAAUUGAUUGGCCAUGUUUGGAAACCCAACUGUUCUCUUUAUCACACUUACUAUAUCUGUACUAUAAGCAAUUGAAUUUUCUCGAUUCAGACAACCGAUGCGAUCUGAACUCGCCAGGGAUGGAGUUCGUAGCUGUUGGAGGAUGGCCACUGGCCAAUGGACGACGUCGAUCUGAAAUUCACUGCCUUGAAGCCGAGUUAUUUGAUCAACCUCAAUCCACAUGUGUUAGAGUGAAUUAGGAUGAAAUUUAGUUAAAUUUCACUUCAAUUCAUCCCAACACAUUUGUACCGCUGUAAAUCUGAUUACAGGCUGAACUGCAUAGCGACCGAAAAGUAUCAAUCCUUUUGUUUACAACACUUAGGCCAUCGGAUGAAAGUUUGAAAAAUAGGACACCGAGUCUCCACCUAUAGAUCCUGCAUACCUGACGGAUGGCAUUUCUCCGUGUGGUUGAUGCAUGAGGAAAAAAGGCUUGGGCCUAGUUUUCAUCCAAAAAUUUUCAUCCAUUCCAUCGAAUCUUUGGACAUAUGUAUAGAACAUUAAAUGUAUAUAAAAAAAUAAACUAAUUACAUAGUUUGGUUGAAAAUUGUGAGACGAAUAUUUUAAGUCUAGUUAGUCCAUGAUUAGCCUUAAGUGCUAAUGAUCGAUUAAUUAUACUUAAUAGAUUUGUCUUGAAGUUUCUAGACAAGCUAUGUAAUUUAUUUUUUUAUUAGUUUCUAAAAACCUCUUCUAAUAUCUUUCCAACACAUCUGAUGUGACACUCAAAAUUUUUUCAAUCUUGGCCUCGGUUGAUGCGUGACGAAGUGGAUAGCGACCGAAAAAUAUCGUGAAUACGGAGAGAAACUGCUAGUAAUUGCAGCACUGAAGCUUCAAUGUGAUUGCCAGGGCCGGGCAGGUAGACGAAGGCCUUGUUUAGUUGCCAAAAUUUUUUGAAUUUUGUUAUUGUAGUACUUUCAUUUUUAUUUGACAAAUAUUGUCCAAUCAUAAAGUAACUAGACUUAAAAGAUUCGUCUCGCAAUUUACAGACAAAUUGUAUAAUUAUUUUUUAUAUUUAAUGCUCGAUGCAUAUACCGUAAGAUUUAAUAUGACGAAAAAUCUUGAAAAGUUUUUGGUUUUUUGUGCGAACUAAGGCCCUGUUUAGUUUCCCACCUAAAAAAUUUUUAUCCAUCCCAUCGAAUCUUUAGACAUAUGCAUGGAACAUUAAAUGUAGAUAAAAAAAUAAAUUAAUUACACAGUUUGAUUGAAAAUCGCGAGAUGAAUCUUUUAAGCCUAGUUAGUCUAUGAUUAGCCUUAAGUGCUACAGUAACCCGCAUGUGCUAAUGAUAGAUUAAUUAUACUUAAUAGAUUUGUCUUGGAGUUUCCAGACGAGCUAUGUAAUUUGUUUUUUUAUUAGUUUCUAAAAAUAUCUUCCGACAUCCUUCCGAUAUAUCGAUGUGACACCUAGAAAUUUUUCAUCCCCGGUCUGGCCUAAACAAGGCCGAAGCUGGAGCUCACCUGCUCGCGUACCUGCAUGCCUGCCUGCUCUGAGCAUGUUCAACAGCCUUCACGUCGCACUGCAUACCUGGCUGGAAUCAUCAUGAUGCAUCAAGGAAAAAAAAACAGCUGAAACCAAAAGAAUGGAACGGCUCUGUUUACUCCUUCAGUCUAAAAAAAAAUUACAACUCUUUUUUUCUGUGAAAUCAAAUAAUUUCGAAUUUAACUACAUUUAUAUAAGAAAAUAGUAAUAAUAGUUACAAUGUCAAGUAAGUAUCAUUAGAUUAAUUAUAUAAUAUAUUUUAUUAAUAAACUUGUUCAAAAAUAUAAAUAUUUAUAUUAUUUUUUAUAAAUUCGAUCAAAUCUAAGAAAGUUUAAGGGCUUUUUCCGAGCCUGCCAUGCCCAUGGAUCCAUCUUCAGCGUCAUCGCAUCUAUUGGUUUCCAGAACUCUCUCGUCAUCUAAUGUGUUGUUCGUUUAACUUUUUAAUACUUGUUCAUUUAAUCUUAUCUGUCAAAUCUGUCAACUAUUUAAUAGUGUUUUUCUCUUAUAACAAAUUAGAACCAUGAUUUUUCUGUCAAAUGCUCUUGCCUCUUAGGCUGCCUUGCAUCCAUGGAGGGAGGAGCAACUCAUCCAGGCCGUGCACUAUGAGCCUGAUGCAAACGAGCAUAUUCUGUAAAAUUCUUGUGAACUUUAGGGGCCUACUUGUCCGUUGGGUCUGACAAGAUAUGUCUAUUCGCUUAAACUUAUUUGUCUAAUCCAUCAUUUAUUCAACAAUAUUUUUUUUCAAAAUAAAUCAGCGAACAAUACUUUCAGCUAAUAUGAGAACACCAUUGGCUCCUUCGUCAUAGUUCCUUUCUUUGGCAUGGCUCUCUCUAGCUCGGGCUCCAUGCUAAUGUGCUGGAGGAGUCAGAGCCGAAGAACUUAGAAAACACGGCUUCCUCGUACUCCUAGUUCAUUUUACGAGAAGAGAGAAAAAGUAAUUUCUUGCUACAGCAGUUGGUUUAGUAGGAGCUGGAGCCAGACGUGUUUGGCUUAGGGGAUUAAAGUUUAAGAGAUGUCACAUGUGAUGUCACAUCAGGUGUUCGGCACAAAAUAAUUACAGAACUUGUAACUAAUUCAUGAUUUUAAUCUAUUAAACUUAAUUAAUAUAUCAUUAGAGCAACUCCAGCAAUAACCUCAAAAACAGGGUCCUACUUUUUAUUUGAGUGCUCCUCUACUUUUAGGUACUCAAAAUUUUGCUUUUACUUCAACAACACCACCCAAAUGAAGGCUCCCAAAUCCAAAAUAAGCAGACAAUGACAUGUGGGAUCCACUUGUCAUUAUAUUAAAUCUUUCUUCCUCACAUCCUCCAUACAGAGGUCAAAACGCAAAGAAGAUGAGAGCUCUCGGCGCAUCGGGGGCAACGCCCGCGUGGUGGGGAAGGGGGCACGUCGGAGUUGCGCAUCGGCGGACCCACCCAGUGGUGGAGGUCGGGAGUGGAGGGAGGGAGCGCAGUAGUGAAGAUCCACGCUAGAGGGAGGUGGGCGAGGCUGCGUCUGUAUGGUGUGGGGAGGUAAUGACCACACCACGCAGAAUGAGGGCUGGGUUGUUGAGCCAACAGGAAUAGGAUCUAGAGGGGAGAUUUGGGUGCCCACCCCAAAUUGGGGGCUCUAGUAGGGGUCUUGCUGGAGUGUUGUUUUUAGCCUGAGUACCUAUAUUUAGCUAUGUGGACUCAAGUAAGGGUCUGCUGGAGUUGCUCUUAGCAUAUGUUUAUGUAGCAUCACAUUAUCAAAUCAUUGGCUAAUUAGGUUUAAUAGAUUUAUCUCAUAAAUUAAUUUCAAUCUAUACAAUUAGUUUCAUAAUUAGUUUAUAUUUAAUAUUCCAAAUAAUUGUCCAAAUAUUUGAUGUAAUAGUAAGCUUUAGAGAUAAUCAAACACUCCAGCCAAACAUGCUAGGUAGUUUCGUUGAGGCGCAAGUGUGAAGCCGUGCGUGAAGCGCUUCUACCAAACAGCGCUGGUCCACUUUCAGGUUCUUGUAUGUAUUGAAGUCGGACGGAAACCAACAGGAAACGGAUCUGAGAAAUGAAUGCAGAAUUAUUUCCUGUAUGAAUUCCGUUGCCCAUCUCUAUCAUGGGCCGUACUUCCUGCUUCUAGGCCCGGCCCCCGGGUGGUUGGGAGAAACAAAAGCCUAACGCUGACGGACAGGCAUUGAAUGAAAGCCCAUUUGCUACCUGUACUUUGUCAGGCUUUGCUUAGCUCGUUAGAUUUUUGAAAAAUCUACAUCACCCCUAAACUAUGAACUAUGGAUGUGUCUACUUUACCUCCCAGUAUAAUUUAUCUUUUGAAUUAUCCAAAACUGUUCAAAUCACCUUCAUUGGUUUUUUAUGGCGGUUUUGCUACAUUAACCAUGAUUUUACUAGAGUAACUGCGAUUUUGACUUUUUCCUAUUUGUUUUUAUAUAAUCUUUGAAAAAUCAUAGUAAAUCACAAAAAAAUCAUAAAAUAGAAAACCUAAUUUUGUUAGACUCCGCAUGAGUAGAUCUACGCAAUGAAUAUAUAAUAUGGUAUACUUUAGUACAAUUUUUUUUGUACCUUUAAAUUAGUUAGAAAAAUCAAAAUUUUAUCUGUAAUUAAUUAGAAUAAUUCAUAGCUUUUGUGGUCCAAUUAUGGUGAAAUUUUUGUGGUGGACUAAUUAUUCUAUGCUUGAACUAUAAUAUAACUAUUUUUUUAUGGUGGACUAAUUUUUCAUACUCAUCGGAUCUUGUAUAACUUAGUUAUAAAUUUAUUUAUAUUUAACAAGCAUAAACCUGAAUAAACCCAAAUAAACUUAAUUACAGAUAAAAUCUGAUUUUUCUAACUAAUUUAAAGCUAUAGAAAAAAUUUGUAUUAAAGUAUACCGUAUUAUAUAUUCAUUGCGUAGAUCUACUCAUGCAGAGUCCAACAAAAUUAGAUUUUCUAUUUUAUGAUUUUUCUGUGAUUUACUAUGAUUUUUCAAAGAUUAUAUAAAAACAAAUAGGAAAAAAGUCAAAACCACAGUUAAUGUAGCAAAACCAUGGUUAUUGUAGCAAAACCGCCAUAAAAACCACCCAGGGGGUGAUUUGAACGGCUUUGGAUAGUUUAGGGGUAAAUUAGACUGUUUCAUAGUUCGGGAUAAAGUAGAGACCACACCAUAGUUCGGGGAGUGAUGUAGACUUUUUUCUUAAUUUUUUUGGUUUUGCCUACUAUAGCAAUUUUGUUUGUAUAUAAUAAUUAUUGUCUAGUUACAGAAUAAUUAGUUUCGAAAAAUUUGUCUCACAAAUACAGGUAAACUGUGAAGUUAGUUUUUAUUUAUAUUUAAUGCUCCAUGCAUAUGUCCAAAGAUUUGAUAUAAUGAGAAAUUUUGAAAAAAAAAAUGGAAAUUAAACCAUAUUGUACGAAAAUACAUACUAGUAGUUACUACCCGUGUAGCAAUAUUAGAAUAGAAUAAUAAAAAAAAGGUCAUCAGGAGUAGGAUCUUGCUCAUUCAUUUAUCUUCCAUCGUAUUAUAAAUUUCUACAAAAUAGACACCAUGUCAAAAGAAUUUAAAUAUCAAUUUAUCCUUGUGAGUUGAAGAUGCAUGUAGUUUCAAUAAAACUUUUAGUCAAAAUUUAUAUAACUUGACUUUUCUUUUUCUAAAAUAACACUAUGUGACCAUUUUUGUUUAUUGGCAAUUUCGACCACCAUUUCCAUUUCGCAAGUUCAAUCUGUAGUACUAGCUUGGGGCUAACAAAAAAUAAAUAACAGUGUGCCAGCCCAAUAAAUCCUCACCGUCGUAGUGUUCGCUAGGUCUGGACGUUCGGUAUGACCGAAGCGAACCGAUCGGUUCCUCGGUUAUUUUGAAAGUUCGGUCAUCACAAAAUAAGGACCGGUCGGUUAGUUGAAAAAAUAAAGACCGAGCAAUUUCGGUCUCGGUUAGUUCGGUUCGGUCUCGGUCACGACCGAACUAACCGGACUAGCACAUUUGUAUCAAAUUUCAGCAGCAUGUUUGCACAAAAUAAUACAAAUAUUUUGGUUCUCCUUAUUCAAAUACUAACUAUAGUAGCAUCUCACAACUCACAAGUCACAAACUCACAAUGACACAACAAAAACAACACACAAUCAAGUCUUUUAAAAGAUAAAAAAAUAGUUUAGGAUUCCCAACAGAGAAUUUCGGUUAGUUCGGUUAACCGACAUUUAUACCCGAACUAACCGUAUAAAGUUCGGUUAGUUAGAAGCAAGGACCGAAUUUAUGACCGAAAAGUUCGGUCUCGGUCUCGGUUAGUUCGAUUCGGGGUUAAUUACGCCCCGAGUGACUGUUCGCUGCCACCCGUGCCAGGUGAGAGGAAGAGAAAAGGUGGGAAAAAAACACACGGAUACCCAACACGAUAUACAUGGGCGCAGUACCUGCCCACACUGUGCCCACAAACAAGGACGAAUGGAUCUAUCACGCUGCUGUUUCACUUCGCAAGCACUGGAGCAGCGCAGCACAAGAAUUUGUAAUUCCUACCCUGCCCUACAAAAUACAGAAUAUCAAGUACCUUGAAAUAAUAAAAUAUAAAAUGCAAAAUUUUUCAUUGGUAUGUUUACUUUUAUCCAAUAUACCAAAAUUUUUAGGGUCCAAAAUACAUGGAGCUGUUUUUAUGGGGGUUUUUUCUGAGCUCUUAAGACCAAAAUUCAAAGUACAAAAUACUAGCAACCAAUUUGCCAAAACAAUUUAAAUGAUAUUAGUUCCAUUAUGAUGCUCAAAAUCUAAAAAAAAAAUACCCAUAUGGAAAACUAAAUAGGCCCAUAGAUAUGUGUGGACACGGCAAUUUCUUUUUUUUUUUAAAAAAAAAGAUUCGCGGAUAAGUCUGAGUACCUUUUAAAUAUAAAUAAACAAUAAUACACAUUGAAUUUUCAAUACAUAACAGCAUACGGUAGCGCAUAUAUAUUACAGUAAUACACCAAAUUCACAAAUAACAAAUCCAUACUCUAUCUAGAGUUCACAGUUCACAAAGUAUAAAAAUCGGAUACUCCGGCGAUACAUAUCGGGGCGUAUCGUUCGUUGGGAUACGACCCUGACCUCAAGUAUUCGUGCUGCGUAGGAGGAUAGUCCAAUAAAAGUGGCGCCGGCGCCUGCCCUCCCCCUUCACCGGUCCAUUGUUUCCAUCCCGCACCAGAGGCAGGCAGGCGGUCCGAUACCGACCAACGCCUCCUCUCUCUCUCUCUCUCCGGCGGGCUCUCCUCUUUCUCUCUCUCUCUCUCUCUCUCUCUCUACCUACUAGUAUAGGAGUGUAUCCAUCUUCAUCCAGCAGCUGAGCAGCAACCACCAGCAAAGAUGGUGCACCCGAUUGCGGAGGCCGACGAGCGGAGCCCCUUCGGGCGCCUGACGCCGGACGAGUUCUACGCGCGGCACGGCGUGACCCACUCCACCUCCUCCUUCGUCAACCCUCGGGGCCUGCGCAUCUUCACCCAGCGCUGGGUGCCCCGCGGGGACGGCGCCCGCGUCCUGGGCGCCGUCGCCGUCGUGCACGGCUUCACGGGCGAGUCCAGCUGGAUGGUCCAGCUCACGGCCGUCCACCUCGCCGCCGCGGGCUUCGCCGUCGCCGCGCUCGACCACCAGGGCCACGGCUUCUCCGAGGGCCUCCAGUGCCACGUCCCCGACAUCGAGCCGGUCCUCGACGACUGCGACGCCGCCUUCGCGCCGUUCCGCGCCGACUACCCUCCCCCGCUCCCCUGCUUCCUGUACGGGGAGUCGCUCGGCGGCGCCAUCGCGCUGCUGCUCCACCUCCGGAACAGGGACCUGUGGCGGGACGGCGCCGUCCUCAACGGCGCCAUGUGCGGGAUCAGCGCCAGGUUCAGGCCGCCGUGGCCGCUCGAGCACCUGCUCGCCGCGGCGGCCAAGGUCGUCCCCACCUGGCGCGUCGCCUUCACCAGGGGGAACAUCCCCGAGCGGUCCUUCAAGGUGGACUGGAAGCGCAAGCUCGCGCUCGCGUCGCCGCGCCGCACCACGGCGCCGCCCAGGGCCGCCACGGCGCUCGAGCUCCUCCGCGUCUGCCGCGACCUGCAGCAGCGGUUCGAGGAGGUCAAGCUGCCGCUCCUCGUCGUGCACGGCGCCGAGGACACCGUCUGCGACCCGGCCUGCGUCCAGGAGCUCUACACGCGCGCCGGGAGCAGCGACAAGACGCUGCGCGUCUACCCCGAGAUGUGGCACCAGAUCAUCGGCGAGCCCGAGGAGAACGUCGAGAAGGUGUUCGACGAAAUCAUCGACUGGCUCAAGGCACGCGCCGCCACCGCUACAGCCGCGGGCGCGCACCACGGUGAGCAGUAGGUUGGGCACGCCUCCCGCGUGCGUGCGUGCGUGCGUGCCCAUGGCCUUGAACCGCGCCUGGUCCAUGACGGAUUCUAUGGAGUAUCGAGGACGGGUCCAGCAAUAAACUUGUUAUGAUGCAUCUCUUUCUCUUGUGAAAACCCCGGUCUAGCAUCUGCAACCGCUUCAGAUGCCGCCAUGCCUACAUGAAUCUUGCAGCUUUGAUUCUUAUCCCCACAUAUGUUCGCUUCUUGACUUCUUGUUCUUGUCCCCACCGACCCGGUCUAGUAUUGCAGAAGUAGUUGGCAGUUGGGAGUUGGGCGUGUAAAAUUAAAUGUAAUAAAUUAAAAUGCAUUGCAGAAGUAGUUUGGAUGGAAAACCAGAUUCCGAUUGACACUACUCGAUCCGAGCAGAUGUUGACUCGGAUACCGUCCUGCCGUGUUCUUGUGUUAUUUAAAGCAGCCCGCCCUCCUGAUCCAUGGAGCGAACAGAGAACCACGAGUAUCCGACGUUUCUGCUGCAUCGACCAACAGACAGAUACAAGUCGAUCGAUACGGAGAUGGAGGGAGAACUGGAGAUGAGCCACGUGCAGGCGCUGCCCGAGGACAUGCUCGCGGGCGUGCUCCGCUGCCUGUCCCCGCGCAGCCUGGCCGUGUGCCGCUGCGUCUGCAAGGCCUGGCACGGCGUCAUCGACGGGCACAGGCUGCUGCGCGCCGAUCUCCUCCCGCUCUAGCUCCAUGGGCGGCAUAUUCAUCAACUUCUGCAUGCUGGGGCUGCUCGAGUUCUUCUCCUGCCGCGACGCCGCCGACGGCGGUCUCCAAAGACAUAUUCGUCGGCCACUGCAACGGCCUCCUCCUAGGCUACAGAAGCGUGGUUAACCCUGCGACGCGACAGUGGGCACCCUUGCCUCGGCUCCCACCUCCAUGCCCAGAGAAACUGCCCUACUUUUGGCACCUGGCAUUUGACCCGGCCGUCUCGCCGCACGACGAGGUGUUCUUGAUGCCAUUCGUUCAUAGCAGCUGGUUUUUGCCUAGAGUCGACCCAGUGAUGGCGAAAUCAGAAUGGCCGCCGUCGACAUGCGAGACGCUGGUGUUCUCGUCCAGGACAGGGCGCUGGGAGGAGAGGUCAUUUGUCCGGCAAGGGGGACCUGCGGGAACCAUGGUCGACAUGGCGCGGGCUAACUCACUUGAUCGCAAGCGUUACAGUGUCUAUUGGCAUGGAGCACUCUACGUGCACUCCAACAACUUCUUCUGCAGAAUAUCGCUGGCUACCAAUGAGUAUCGGGUCAUUAAACCGCCGGUGAAAAUUGGGACAUACAGUGAAUGCUGCUACCUGGGAAAAUCGGAGAAAGGGGUGUACUGUGCGAUACUUAAUCACAAGUUCCAGUUUCGGGUAUGGAUUCUCCAUGAAUCGUCUUCUGGUCGUCAGAUGAAAUGGGAGCUAAAGCAUCGAAACAACAACCUUAAGACGGCAAUGGCGAGUCUGGACUACUCUUAUCAGCCAGAGGAUGGUGGAGCCUGGUCCUUCGAGGAUAUUAACUAUUAUCAUAUGUUCCCGGAUGAAAAAGAUGGUGUUAACCACAAUGAAGAUGGUAGCGGCGACGACUGCAAAGAACCACCGGUGAAGCCUAAGAUCACAGACAACUUUUACAUUACCAUACUUGGGUUUCAUCCGUUUAAAGAGAUUGUGUACCUGAGCAACUUCUACAGCAUGGGACUGGCCUAUCACCUUGACAGUUCCAAGGUCCAGUACUUGGGUAACAUGUGCCCAAAGCUCUAUGGUGUCCUCGCUGGGCAGCACGCAGAUAUUGAAACAUCUUUCCCGUACACGCCUUGCUGGAUGGAGAAUUCAUAUAUUACAGGCUCCACUUGAAUGCAUUUUAUUUAGUGGAACCCAGCCUCUGCUUGUGGUGGAACCAGCUAGUUUUUUUAAUGCCCUGUUUAGUUUCCCACCUAAAAAAAUUUCAUCCAUCCCAUCGAAUCUUUAGACACAUGCAUGAAACAUUAAAUGUAGAUAAAAAAAUAAACUAAUUACACAGUUUGGUUGAAAAUCGCGAGACGAAUCUUUUAAGCCUAGUUAGUCCAUGAUUAGCCUUAAGUGCUACAGUAACCCACAUGUGCUAAUAACAAAUUAAUUAUGCUUAAUAGAUUUGUCUUGCACUUUCCUGACGAGCUAUGUAAUUUGUUUUUUUAUUAGGCCUUGUUUAGUUCCAAAAUUUUUGGCAAAAUGAGCACUGUAGCAAUUUCGUUUGUAUUUGACAAAUAUUGUUCAAUCAUGGACUAACUAGGCUCAAAAGAUUCGUCUCGUCAAUUCCGACUAAACUGUGCAAUUAGUUUUUAUUUUUAUCUAUAUUUAAUACUCCAUGCAUACGUCUAAAGAUUCGAUGUGACGGGGAAUCUGAAAAAUUUUGCAAAAUUUUUGGGGAACUAAACAAGGCCUUAGUUUCUAAAAACCCCCUCCGACAUAUCCGAUGUGACACCCAAAAAUUUUUCAUCUUCAAUCUAAACAGGCCCAACUCAGCACUGAGUUGUGUGCGACAUCGGUGCACUUGUGGCUGCCAAGCCAAAUGAGCAAGUACAUGAGACAAGUUGUACAUGAUUCAAUGAGUAUACAUUUUUUACUACUGUUUAAGCAUAUACUAUAAUUAGAUCAUCAUAAAAAAUUCAUCACAAUUGGACCAGAGGCGUCCCGGCCAAAUAUGAGGCCCAGUUCAAAACAUUAAAUGGAGGCCUAGCAUCUAUUGUCAAAAUCUAAAAAAGAUAAUAUCAAAUAUCACUAUAUUACAAAGGCAAUGUAUAAAGGAUUAACUAAAUAAAAAUAUGGAUUAUGUAUGGAAUUUAUAUCAGGCAAUGAUCUCCGUCUGGCGUCCUAAUCUGAGUUCGGCCGUCUAGGAUUGCUACUAGGUCUCGACUCUUGAGCGACGAACAACUCCAAGGGCAAAGAAGAAGUCCAAGGGACUAGAAGAAUUACCGACUAUAGACUUUUCUAACUCACGAUUACGAAGCCAUAAACUUAUGAAGGGUUACAAACUUAUGUGAAGAAAAAUUACCGGCUAUAGACUUUUCUAACUCACGAUUUUGGACUCAAUGUGCUUUCUCUCAAGGAAAUAACAGGCCACGUUUAUUGAGUCUCUGUGACUAAUUUACUAAUUAAAACAAACUUAAAAUUAUUAUAUAUACUUAGAAUAUUUAAUAAAUUUUGAGGCCCAUAAAUUUUAGGGGCCCAGUUCGAUCGCACAGUCCGCACGGGCUUCGGGACGCCCCUGAUUGGACUAUAGAAACUGUAACUAUAAAUUAUUUCAUUUAAUUAAAAAAAGCAUAUAUAUAUCUAAAGUCAUAGUAAAAACUUUGUAUCGAAGCAUACUAUAUUAUAUGUUGAAUGUAUAGAUUUACUCACGUGGAGUCUAAUAAAAUUAGAUUUUUUAUUUAUUUAUGAAUUUUCUGUAAUUUACUAUGAUUUUUUAAAAUUCCCAAAACAAAUAAAAAGAAAAAAGGAUAAAACCGUCUUCAAAAUCGUUUCUAACAGGAGGUAAAAUGAACCGUUUUAAAAAUUAAUAGAAAUAUUUUAUCGGGUUUUAGAGUUUGAGUACAAACGGACUUUGGCGAAAGUGUUUUUACUAUUGCAAAGGCGUUGGGGCGUGCCACCAGCACUUCUUCAUCGGCCAGCGUCGCGGGUCCUGGGAGCCAUGUUCCCGGAACAUAGGCUACGUGGUACGGGAACGUGGUACGCGGUACGACAUUUUCAUAAACUAUGGAACGUAGGGGGUAUAUAGCUUCGUCUCGUUCCUUUAAGUUGUGGAACACGUUCCACUUUCUAAAGGAACGUGUUUGGGACGUAGUGGUUGGCUCAGAUAGUGGUUGACUCCUGGCGCUGCUCCCUCUCAGGAUUGUCGGUCCAAAGUUCAAAAGAAAAAGAAAAAGGAUUGUCGGUCCUAAAGCUGGGAGGAGUGGGCUUAGUGCCUUGUUUAGAUACACCCAAAAACCUAAAACUUUACAAGAUUCUCCAUCACAUCAAAUCUUGCAGCACAUACAUGGAACAUUAAAUAUAGAUAAAAAAGAUAACUAAUUGUACAGUUUAUAUGUAAAUUACGAGACGAAUCUUUUAAGCCUAGUUGCUCUAUGAUUGAAUAAUGUUUGUCAAAUAAAAACGAAAGUGCUACAGUGUCAAAAUCCAAAAAAAAUUUUAGAUCUAAACAAGGCCUUACUCUUAUCCGGCCCAACAUUCCUUUUCUUCGCUACGUGACCGCCUGACCGGCCUUCCUAAAAUGCAGGGCCGUCUCUAUAAUUUUAAGGGCCCUUGUGCAAGCAAAAGGGUAAGGGCCCAUCAAAUAUUUUUUUGAUAUGUCAAAUAUAUAAAAAAAAUUAAUUUACACCAUAUGUUUUAGUUUAUAAAAGGUAAUUAUAGUACAACAAAUAAAUAAGUAGAAUAGAAUUAGAAAUUUAGAACCCUAUCACUGAAUACUAAUAACAAAAUUGGUGAAGUCUCGAUCAGCUAUGCUCUUGCUCUUCCUGCUCUAGUGUCUAGUAGUGACAUCGUGUUCAGACGUGUGGUGUUAGCGUGUCAUGGAGCCACAUCGUUCCAUUGGACGAUUGGGCAAUAGGACGAGAAGAUGAUAAAGAGGAACAUUGAUCUGCUAAACUAAUCGAUCAAGCGAGAAUAUGAAGCAACACCAACAAUAUGUGGAUGUGGAUGACGUGUUGAUUAAUGAAUUUAAUUUUUAGAUUAAUUGAUGGAUUUCUAUAGUGUCUGUAUAAGCCUCCAAAAAAAUUAGACAAAUCUAUAUACUAAGUAUUAUAUAUUAUACAUAUAGACUCCUUAACUCCGUGGGCCCCCGACCGUCGCACCGACUGCCCACCCUCGGCCCUGCUAAAAAAUGGUCCAUGACCAGAGCCAUUUUCUUUUCUCCGAGCUCGUUGUAGGCAGUUGCAGGCUUUGCAGCACGCCAGCACAGUCUUCUAACCGCUCACCGCCAUGUUUUAAUCAUCUCUCAAAAAAAACGCCAUGUUUUAAUCCAAAAUAUACAAGCGGGAGCUCAUCAUUCAAUAGUCAUGGGAAUUAUGUUUCGCUGGCUUUCCUUUUCCUAUAUAAAUCUAAAAACGUUAUCCACUUAUUAAAAAACAAAAUCCACAAUGACUGAUUAACAACCUAACCUCACUGAGCUGCUGUGAACUUUCCUCAAGAAACAUUGAUUUAUUCCUUUAAAAGACAAUGAAAGGAAAAGCUGGUUUGAACUCUAACCAGAAUACGUCCUGGCUAGUUGUCUAAGGGUGUGUUUGGUUUCUUGAAAAAUUUCUAGCUUGGCUAGAAUUUUGGCCUAGACAGUUUUAGAUUGCUCCCAGCGAGCCAAUUCCUGAUCAUUUGAUUUGAUUGUUUAUACUGCCUAAGUCUGGUUAGCCUUAGGUGUAUUUGUUUGUCUGGUUUAGAUGCAGUCGCCUCUUCUUUGGUCCUGUUUGGUUACCUCUACUAAAUUUUAGUUAGCUAAAUUGUAGUCACUUUAGUAGCUAAAGUUUCAAACACAUUGACUAAAAGAAGCUAAAAUAGUUUAGCCAAAAAUAACAGGAACCAAACGGGGGCCUUUGAAUCGGAUGCAUUUUGUUGAACAAGCGGAAGGCAUCGACCGCGAGAGUACAUGGCGGCAGCAGCAGCAGCAGCAGCACGAGCAGGGCGAGCAAGGCAAGCAGCAGGGCUAGCACGACGAGAAUGGACGAAGCGCACGCACGCACAAGCAUUGCAAGGCUAGCUCGUCUUCCAUCCCGCGCACGCACGCACGCCGCCCAGGACAAAGCGCUCAUGGUCAUGGAGGUCGCCCCGCUGCAGCGGCACGUCGCCGUCUGUCCGCUCGCUUCCUCAGGCUCCCAUACGCGACCGCGCUCCGUCGAGUGAGCUCGUCGACGCACGACGUACGGCUUUGGCUCCCCGCAUGCCUCACCCAGUCGCAGGCCGUCCUCGGCCACGGCCACGUUGCGGGCGUCGACGAACCGCAGUGCUCAGGAGCCGGUCGAUCACGCCGCAUGACACCUCCGCCGCCGCACGAGACCUCCGACCGGGAGGUGAGGAGAACGAACACGUGGUUGGUUCAGUCCAGGUUUUAGAAAAACGAUCGAUUUUGACAUUCAAUGAAUUAAUCUCCUCGGAAGCAUAGGACACGGAUGACCAGCUCCUUUAUACGGAUGACCAGCUCUUGUCAAGUUGUAACUUAUUUUCAAACAAUCGAUCAAACAAAUCAAAACUGGCUUCAGGGUGCUAGGUUAGGGAUUGACCACCUGACCAGACACACCCUAAUUGCCUGAGUAUGCAUCUAACGAUUCGAUGCAGACUAUAAGUCUACAAUUUAAUAUAUAUGUAGACGCCAAAAAAAACAUAUACUCAUUCUUUGGGAAUGCACACACACACGCAAACUUUACCUUUGUAAAUACCUUAAAAAACUAAGGCGGUAGAUCUCAAAAUUUUGCCUCAUUGUCAAUGGGCACACAUGUCUAUCAUUGGAAGAAUAACCGAUAAAUCUUGAAAUUGCAUCUUGUCAUCGAUGGAUACGUCGCUUGCCAUUGCAAAAAUGAUGUGUGAGGGUUAGCAGUGGGGGUAAGAGGAUUGGAGGAGUGAAGAAGAAGAAGAAGGGUCGGAGGAGGAAGAGAAAUAGUAGAUAGUAAGAUGAGUUCUUAAAUUCUAAUAUGAUUUCUGAUAUUACAAAAUGUGUCUCCUCUUCCUUCUCGACUAAGCCUUAUACUCGUUACAGAGGCACUGCCCCUUUUUACAUAUGCAAGCGGUAGCUUUAGGCCCACUGCUCUCCAAAGAUCUUUGGGUUCGGCUUCUUGGCCCUCUGUUCCCUAGGCUGGGCCUUGGGUGUGUCUUCUUCAUCCUAGGCUUGGUCACGACUGUGGCUGGCAUAACGCCAUUAAAUCAUAUAACUAUUUUAAAAUGUGAGCACCUUAUAUCAAAUUGAGAAUUUAAAUCUAGAUGAAUAGGUUACGCCACAAUAAGGUACACUUAAUCACAAGUAUAUGGUUCCUACAUUAUAUACCAGAAAAAGUGAACAGGACGAGUUCAAGUGGGCAUGACCUCAUUUUACAAAAGAAAGAAAGAAAAGCAUUGAGAAUGUGAUUUAGGGGUGUUUAGUUCCUCUUCUAUUCUAAAAUAUUUUGGGUUUUGAUUCAUCAUUUUGUAUAAUAGAACUAAAUACCAUAUAAAAAUUUUGGCAAAAAAGUGAUUAUUCUCCAUUUUGGAUUUUGGCCUCAAAGAGAGAAAAAAAAAGCCUAAAAGAGCCUCAAGAGGCUCUCAUGAGGGCAAUAAAUUAUACAUUUUGGAUGAAACUAAAUAUAACCCUGAAAAUUUUGGCAUUUCACAUUUCAUGAUUCCAAAGUAGUUAGCAUUUUUUUUUUGACAACAAGUAGUUAGCAUUUUGUAUUUUAUGGAAAACUAAACACCCCUUUACAAGAUUGUUUCGUAUUUUCUAGCACAAGAGGAACCAGCCAAUGACCUGGAAAGCUUCCUGAUGAGUCAUCACUUCCUCCGGGUUGGUCAGCCUAGGUGAGUCAGCACAUACUCCGUAAAAGUUCUCUAGACAUUUUGACGACACCAUGCUUGGAACAUGGACACAAAUAUAAUCUCUCGUAGCAAUCUCAUAGGGAACUAUUCAGUCCCGUUGCAAUUAACGGAUCGGAACGUACUUUUGCUUUGCAAACGUGAAUUAAUUAAACCUGUGCAUAGGCUUCUUCUAGAAUCUAGCUGGAUUGAAGCUAAACAAAUAUAUGAAUUCAUGGAUGCUAGGCAGACUACUAUAAACCAAAGGUGGUUUAAUUUACUGGUUUGGAGCAAAAAGCUAAGCUAACCGAUCACCACUGGUUUCCAAGUUCGCAACCAUUGGUUUUGAGCGAGGAGUGGAAUUUGAACCUGAAGGAGAAUCGAGGGAAGAUAAAAAAACAUAGUCACUUAUAGCACUCACAGUGAAAGACUCUAUCACAGAGUCUAAAAUAAUUAAUUGUAUAUUAUUUAUGGUAUUUUGCUGAUGUGUCAACAUAUUUAUUGAAGAAAGAGGUAGAAAAAAUAAGACUUCAAGUCUUAUUUAGACUCUAAGUCAACAUUGUUCGAGGUAAUAAAUAACUUUAGACUCUAUGAUAAAGUCUGCCCUUAGAUCGACAUUUAUUCUCUUUUUGAAAUAUAUGAAAUGGUGUAGUACUCCCUUAGUAUACAUUUUUUGUUGUUUUGAAUCAAGGUGGAGACAAUUUUUUUAAAAAGACUCCUAUCAAUAACUUAAAAAAUCAUUAGUUUUGAGGCACUAAAAUUAUGUCUAUUGAUUAGUUUUAAAAAUUUCAGUCCCUGCUACAAGAAUGUACAUCUUAUUUUAUGAGAAGUCAAAACAACCUUAAGUUUGACUAAAUUUAUGGAAUAUAUUAUCUAUAUUCAGAUCUUUAGCUAAAUUUAUUAUAAAAAUAUAUCACAUAAUAUCUUUAGCUAAAUUUAUUAUAAAAAUAUAUCACAUAAUUAAUUACGCAUCAUAAUACUUUUUUAUAUGUAUGUAGUCAGAAUUAAGAAUCUUUGACUCUCAACAUACAUCUUUGUGGGACGUAGGUAGUGUUUACUAAAAUUAUUGUUUAGUAAGAAAAUCGAAAUAUUAUAAUAAAAAGCUACUAUCGACGUUGUUUACACGUGCCAUCAUACUAGCUGUACAUAAUAUAAUAAACAAAUUAUAGAUAUAUUCACAAAAAAAAGAAAUUAUAGAUAAUAGAAUCCAAAUAGUCGGAUUCUUGCAAUUCGACCACCAAAUUAUGAGAAUUAUAGUACGCCUGUAACCUACUAUCGGAAAUAUUGGAUCUGAAACACUUAUUGGACCUAUAAUUCAUUUCUAUAAAACAGGCUUCAUUGUUUUAUUGCAAAAUCCAGUUUUUUACAACUAUAGAGAAAUCAAGACCUCAUAAUCUUCGGUAGAUCUAAAGAGACUUAAUUAUAGCGUAUCCUUUUGCAAAAAUAUAAGGAUUGUCAAUAACAAAUUUCUCUUUCAUCCCUAGCCUUCAAGUCAUUUGGUCUAGGAUCCUUUCUGCGGCUGCUAAAUUUAUUUCAAGGCAACAGUUGACUUGUCCAUGGAGAAGCAAAAUAAUAAAGGAGAAAACUUUAUUAUACUACUUUAUUACCCUGAGUACAGUAAUGAUAAACCGCUAGUGGUAUCGCCUGAUGACUCGUGUCUGCAUGCGAUGCCAGAAUUCAAUAACCAACGCCCGUAUCCAUCUGCAUGUCAUUGACCAUAUCUCUCUCUCACCUCUCUCUUCCUGUAUACCGUUGACCCACCUCUCUUGAUAGCUAGCCACGGUUUUGCAGCAAAACACGUGCGCAAAACCACUAACCACGUGUGCGAACGAACCUAGGCGGGGGUAGAGGGGGGAGGCAAUGAGCUCGAUAUUGUUCUACGUUAAGGUCUUGUUUACUUCCGAAAAAUUUUAAGAAAUCGAUAUUAUAGCAUUUUUGUUUGUAUUUGAUAAAUAUUGUCUAAUUAUGGACUAACUAGCCUCAAAAGAUUCAUCUCGUCAAUUUCGAUCAAACGUGCAAUUAGUUUUUAUUUUCGUCUAUAUUUAAUACUCUAUACAUGCGUCUAAAGAUUCGAUGUGACGAAGAAUGUGAAAAAUUUUGCAAAAUUUUUUAGGAACUUAAACAGGGCCUAAAUAAUUGAACGAGAAAGCUAAAACAUGCGUUUAAAAAGGAGGACGUGCUUUAUUUGGUGCUUUUAUAUUACUAGCCGUGCUCACCCGUUUUUUUUUUUUGCAAAUCAUUUAUAAAAUAAAUGUUGCAAUUGUGAACUUGAUAGCUAUGUACAUAAUGCUCAAUCAGGCUCUAUCAGAUCAUUUACAACAUGAAAACAACUAUAAUUUGGUGUAUGAUUAUAUUAACUCAAUCAUUUGGCAGUACGUCUCAGAAUGAAUUAGAUACUCAUAAGGUCUACCAUUCAUUAUAAGUAUGUCAGAGUUCUUGACUAUUUCUCUAAACUUUUUUUUAUGCAUGAGUUUUGUCUUUUACAAUGUGUUUGUUUUUUUGAACGCAAAAAACAUGGGGGAGCUCCCCACGGUGUAUUAAAACUUCUCUUUAAGAGGGCGAAAGAUACAAGGGAGGAGGAGACUUACAGCUGGGAGUUGAGAAGGAACGAAGCAAAAGAACUGUAGAGCCCAAAAGAGGGAGAGCAGUAAACAUAGAAGAAAAGAAAAGAAAAGAAAAGAAGAUUACAAUCCAUCGAGCCACAUAACAACUAAAGCUUUGUCAUUAUCUUUUAGGCAUUUAGCUUGAAGGGUAGCUUCAUCCUUGAAAUUUCUGAGCCAUCUACUAAAAGUAGCAUGGACACCAUCAAAGACAAGUCUAUUUCUGACUUUCCAUAAUUCCCAGGUUGCAAUGAGAAAAAUUUUAAUGAAGUAUGGAAGACAUAAAUGUUGCCUAGUGUGCACAAUCCUCAUAUGCCAAUGUUAGGGAACUGAUCCAAAAGGCUUUCACCAGCCCAGCAGUCUUUCUAGAAGAGCACCGAGGAGCCAUUACCAAGUUAACAUGUGGUGAUAGAACCGUACAGAUCCUUUAACCUAAAGAUAUCUUUCCACCAAAACGACCCAACUUCUCUGAAAGCAUGUUUAAAAAGCAGUGCAUCAUUAUGUAAGAGGAGGUUUUUGAUACCCACCCCCCUUUAUUCUUGGGUCUUUGAGCUAGAGGCCAGGCAACCAAAUUACCACCUUUAUUUUUCUCAGAAUUCCCUCUCUAAAGGCAUUGCUUUCUAAUCCUAUCAAUAUCAUGUGUCACACCUUUAUGCAGCUUGAAAGUACACAUGACAUAGGUAACAGUGGGAGUAAAAAAUGUGUUGAUAUAUUCCACCCUUCCAGAGUAUGACAAAAGAGCAGAAGAAGUAGAUAGAAAGUUUCUAAUGUAAAUAUAUCAUUGUAUGUGUCAUUUUAAUUAUAUGCUUACAUGAACAAAUUAAUCUAACAUAAGAUUAAAAGGGGCUUGAAAUUUUUUAGCUCUAGGAAGGGGCAAGACCUUGUUGUCCCUAGCUAGCUUCGUCCAUGAUCCUCUAGUCAGCAUCCAUCAUUGUAUCCUCAUUGUUAGGAGUGCAUUCUUAAUUAAUUAACCAUUUUGCAUCCCUCCUGCCUUUGGAUGUUGAUGGCAAUUGAGCUCGAUUGAUAAGUCUUGUUGUAUCUAGAGUUCAUUCUAGAAGAGCGAGUGGCAAUGAUAGGGGAGAGGGACGAUGAUGAAGAUUGAAGAGAAGUGAUUUAUUUUAUGGGAGCCAAUUCCAAGUACGAGAGUAGGUUCUUUGUUUUCGGGUAUGGGAACAACCCUCACAAUGUAUAGGAGCAAGUUCCACCAAUAUAUAAAAUCACCCACUAUGAACGUUUAGAUGACCAAAGUUGGAGUAGCUAGAAGAAUGUUACCUCAGUAAAAUAUAUAUAUCUUCACAAACAAAAUGCAUGCAACGUCUGAAAGGUACUAAACAAUGCAUGAGGUGACAAUUUGUAGAUUCGUUGGCCGCUAGUAAUAACUUUGGUACAAUGCCCUGUAUAUAUACAUAAAAAAUGCAAACCAUGAGACAGAGAAGCGUAGAAGGAUCACCACACGGCUACAACAGAAAGCAUGCCAAGUUGGAGUACUUUCCACGGUAAGGAAGUAGAUAUGUACAUGCUUCGCUUUGUCUCAUGUUUUUUGUCGCAUUAACUAAACCGUGUACAAUUAUCCAUAGCCAUCAUGAGUGAUGCAUUAAACCAACGGUUGAGCUCAAAAACCAUCGAACAACACUGCCCCCCUUAUUGUGGUUUUGCAUGUGAGUGCUCUUAAAGCCUAAAGUCAGUGUAGUAGUGGUGGAUGACAUGACACCAACAAAGAAUAAUCCAAACCUAUAGGUAAUCAAGUCAUGCUAGAUCAGGUGAUUCUGGAUGAAGUCACGCGCCAAAAACUAAACACAAUGUUAGAGUGUGUGUGUGUGAGAAGUGGAAAGGGUGGUAUAUUUCUUGAAACAUAAAAACAUGUAGUGAUGUUGCAUGUUAUGCCCUAUCUAGUAGAAAUAGAAGGUUUCUUAUGAAAGUAUAUCAUUAUAUGUGUCAUUUUAUAUGCUUACAUGGACAAAUUAAUCUAAAAUGAGAUAAAAAGGGGGUUCAGUUUUUUUAGGUCAAGCAAAGGGGCAAGGCCUUGCUAACCCAGCUAGCUCUAUCCAUGAUCAUCUAGUUAACAUCCAUUGCUACAUCUUCAUCGUUAGGAGUGUCUUCUUCAUCGACCAUUUUCUCCCUCUUGGCCCCAACCACUACUGACAAAAGGCUUGCCUUGAGCUCAAUUGUAGGGUUUACUACCUUUGGAGUUCAUCCUACAAGCGCAAGUGGCAACGACAGGGGAGAGAGAUGAUGGUGAAGAAUGAAGAGAAGCAUUUUAUUUCAUCAGAGCCGGUUCGAAAUAUGGACAACCCUCACAGGGUAUAUAUAAUCGCCCAUUGCGGAUGGCUAGAUGCCCUAACUAUGAGCAUCUAGAAGAAUUUUGUCUUGGCAAAGUGUAUCAUGAUGAGCGAAAAGCAUGCCACAUGGGUGUGGAAAUAUUAAAAAAUGCAAGAGGCAACAAUUUCUAGAUUUGUUGGCCGCUAGUAGUAAUUUGGUACAUUGCCCCAUGUAUACAAACAAGAAACUAAUGCAACCCAUGAGACAAAGAAGCGUAGGACUACCACGCGGCUAUAGCAAAAAGCAUGCCGAGUUGGAGAGCCUCGAGUGGUGGCGGGGUUUUCCCCAAUAAGAAAGUAGACAUGUAUAUGCUACACUUUUGUCUAAUGUUUUUGUUGCAUUAACUGAACCGUGCCAUAAUUAUCUGUAGCCAUCAUGAAUGCCAUGUUAAACGAUACGGUCGAGCUAGAGCUAAAAUUAAUGGUCCUAGUCAUUCAAGCAAAUAGGGCAGUAUUGAUUCUUACAAAAUAGUAGCAAAAUGUGACAAUGGUUCAAAACACCUACUAUAACUUCAUCAAAUAUUACCCAAACAUCUAUAAGGUGGGUAUACUCUCGUCAAAUAAGCAUGCCAUUUUCGCCAAAGAAAACAAUAUACAUUCUUAAUAAUCAAUUAUCGGUCGUAGCCUCAAGGUUAUGAAACUUCACGUAGCUAGCUAUGGUGUGAACCGCCAGGCCUGUGAAAUUAUAUCGUGAACAUUAUGCGAGUUUCACGAAUUUUAGAGGUACAAAGACAAUGAGUUCACCAUCAUAACUUAAAAAUAAAUUUUGGCAAAAGUAAAAUAAAAAUUUAUACCAAGAGUUCUUGGGUCAACCCAAACGUAGGAAUCCGGAGGGAGGAUUUCGUAUGCAUCAUGGUAUCAAGAGACGUUGUGACAGAUCUGAUAGCGAACGGCGAGUCAACUUGUGAAGCAACUGUAGCAGAACCUUACUACAAACGGUUGACAAGGUCAACGUGACUGUCACUUACAGGUUGACCACUAGCACAGGGAUGUCCAUCCAACAGUGGGGGUCUUUUCUGUAAUCGCGUUCUCAAAAGAAAAAACCCAAAACCAGGGGCAGCCCACCCCGGGCAGCUGUUUUCCCAGUCCAGUCCUCCACAGGCGGUAUCGGAUCUCCUGUGCGCACCUGACACCCCCCAACCAACCCGAAACAGUAGCACGCGCACGUAAAAGCGGGGAGCGCCGCCCCGCAGCGGAUCCCAGUCGGUUUUGCGGGACUGUGGGCUCCCACCGCUGGAAACGGUGAGGCGCGGGGGGGCAAAACCGGGGUACCCGUGCCGCUGCCGCGCCCGGAGGCGGUCGCAGCCGCACGGGCGAAACCGGCGGCGACGAAUCGGCGAUCGCCCACCCAGCUCCCCCCCCCCCCCCCCCCCCCACAUAUAAACCGCACCCCACCUCGCUGCCGUUUUCCCACGGCGCAUCGUGUACAACAGCGGCAGCACGAGCGAGAGCGACAAGUGGUUUAGAGUAGACCGGGUGGAGUAGAGAUUGGCGGUUUGCCGGCGAUGGAGAGGGGCGACGGGGGAGGGGGAGGGAUGGCGCCGCGGGGCGGCGGGGUGGGGUCGGCGGCAAUGCUGGGGCUGGACAUGCACCGCGCCCCGCAGCAGAUGCACCCGGCCGCCGCGUUCCAGCACCAGCAGGGUGGGUUCCAGCUGCAGCAGCAGGCGGCGCCGCCGCCGCCGUCGUCGUUCUCGCCCUACUCCAACACGUCGUCGUCCAGGGUCGUGGUGAGCGCGGCGGCGGUGGGGGCAGGGCACGACGACGACGUGGUGGGCAACGGUGGCGGCGGGAAGGGAGGAGUGGUGGUGCCGCAGCAGCAGGCGCAGCAGAUGGCGUCGGCGGCGUGCCCGUGGACGAGGAUGAAGUGGACGGACGCCAUGGUGCGCCUGCUCAUCGGGGUGGUGUACAGCGUCGGGGACGAUGGGGAGGGCGUGGCGACGGCUGGCGGCGCGGGGGCAGGCAGGGCGGGCAGGGCGGGGCACGGGCACGCGGCGGCGGCGCAGCAGCAGAAGAAGGGCAAGUGGAAGUCGGUGUCGCACGCCAUGAUGGACAAGGGCUUCGUGGUGUCGCCGCAGCAGUGCGAGGACAAGUUCAACGACCUCAACAAGCGGUACAAGCGCGUGGUGGACCUGCUGGGCCGCGGCCGCGCCUGCCGCGUGGUCGAGAACCACGCGCUGCUCGACACCCUCGACGACAUGACGCCCAAGGCCAAGGACGAGGCGCGCAAGCUGCUCAGCUCCAAGCACCUCUUCUUCCGCGAGAUGUGCGCCUACCACAACAGCGCCGCCGCCGCCGGGGGAUCGCACCUGCCUGCGCACGCCGGCGGCGGGGACGCCGCCUGCCUCCACCACCCGGCGCCGGUGCCCGUGGCCGCCGCAGCCUCGUCCGCCGCCCGCCACGCCUACGCGCAGCAUCAGGCGGCCCCGUCCCCGCCGGGGAUGAAGGACUCCUCCGCCGACGUCGCGGACGACGACGACGACGACGACGACGACGACGACAGCGACGACGACGAUGCCGUGAGCGACAACAGCGACGAGGACGUGGACGACUACGAUUUGGAGGAGGAGGACGGCCACAUGUACCCCAGCAACAACCGCCCCAGUCAUCGUCAGCACAGCGGCGGCAAGCGCGGGCGUGGCGAGGACCUCGACGACGAGGCGGAAGGCGGUGGUACUGGUGGGAGAAGCGCGAGGAGGAGGAGGCGGCGGAAGAAGGCGGCGCGGGUGGCACCCGACCCAUCGGCGAUGCUGCGGCAGGUGAAGAGCGAGCUCGCGUCCGCGACCGCGGCGAUGGACCCGCAUCAGGUCCGAUCCUGGAUGCGUCGCCGCGCGCUGGACGUGGAGGAGCAGCAGAUCCGCCUGGACUCCCACGCGUGCUACCUGGAUGGGCAGCGGCUGAAAUGGGAGCGGUUCCGCGACGAGAAGGAGCACGAGCUGCAGCGCGCGCGCCUGCAGAACGACCGCCACCGCAUGGAGAGCCGGCGCCUGCUGCUCAUGCUCCGCCACAAGGACAUCGAGCUCGACAUGGCCGAGGUCAACUCUUCCUCCGUCGACCACAACCCUGGCGCCGGCGCGUCGCCGCUCGCAGCACACCAGCAGCAGCAGCAGCAGCAGCCGAUUGGGUCCAGCCCCAGCCCGUCCACCGCCGGACACCCAAACUAGCUGUCGUGCAGUCGUGCGUGCCUUUCCAUUCCAUUACCGGUAGCAGUCAGUACUCAGUAGCU